This 80594-nucleotide long non-coding RNA is filed under the name Fragaria vesca (wild strawberry). Its description in RNAcentral is "long non-coding RNA (FVES_LNC003398)". Lineage: Eukaryota; Viridiplantae; Streptophyta; Magnoliopsida; Rosales; Rosaceae. The record is from RNAcentral.
ACGGCAACGGCGCAAUCCCACCGGCAACCCUAGUCGAAAUCAACAUCGCAGCUGACGGUGGUCAGGACUUUUACGACGUCAGCCUCGUCGACGGCUUCAACGUCCCCAUGUCCGUUGCCCCGCAGGGCGGAACCGGCGAGUGCAAACCCUCUUCAUGCCCGGCCAACGUCAACAACGUCUGUCCGGCGGAGCUGCAAGUGAAGGCCGCCGACGGGAGCGUGAUCGCCUGCAAGAGCGCAUGUUUGGCGUUCAACGAGCCACAGUACUGUUGCACACCUCCUAAUGACACUCCCGAAACAUGUCCACCCACAAAAUACUCUCAGAUCUUUGAGGAGCAGUGCCCUCAGGCUUAUAGCUACGCUUACGAUGACAAGAGCAGCACCUUUACAUGCUUCGGUGGACCUAACUACGCCAUUACUUUCUGUCCAUGAGCAAUAUAGAGAUGAUCGAAAUCAUAGACAGAUCGAGGAAGCUAAUAAUCAAAUCCCUUUUUGGGGAUAAGAAUAAGUUGUAUGAAUCUUGACACCUUGAUAUUGUCAAGAAUUUAGUAUCAAUAAUUUCGAUGGAAUAAUUAAUUAAAGACAUAAAAUCUUCUAAGAAUAUGCAAUCCCCAACAAAUAUGUACGGGGUUAGCAAUCAGAUUCGUUAAACUUUACACCCCGAUCUAUUUUCAUUAGCCAACAUUCUCCAACAAUAUUGACACAACAAAACAAAUAUACAUAUUGUGUGAUGAAGAAAAAUUAGUCACACAACAUGUUUAAGGAACCUUGUCUUGUAUGUUUAACCCGUCUCUAUCAUUCGUGUUACACGCUAACCACUCUAUGGGAUUAAAAACAGAUUAAUUAAGAAAAAAAGUUCAUAGAAACGAUCUGCUAUACUUGAGAGUCGACAAUCCGUCAGCAUAUAUCGUGGCUGAUACUAGCCGAUAUAUCUACAUCCUCAAUAAUCGCCGGCGAUCUCUAGCUUCAACCACCGUGUGCGGCUGCCCUGUCAGAGAGCUCUCUCUCUUAUCACGUACGCUGAUUUGCAUGCGUAAUUGGGAUAGCACAUAAUUGAAUAACCCAAGCCAAGACUUAUUCAAUGGCAUGAUCAACUUAGGAGACUAGUGGCACGGCAUCAGCGUCAAUAGGUACAUUCAAGUCAGGGGCGGAGCCAUUCACAGGCCUUGGAUGGCCUUGGCACCCCCCAACUUGGAAUUAUAUACAUACAUUCCCCUGUUAUAUAUUCUGAUACAGAUGAUCUUCAUCUCAGUCUAUCUCAUGUGAUGGCACUCCCAUGCCCCAGCAUUAUGUAAUGAUUUUUUCUGGGUGCCCACUAACCUUAUUUAUAUAUACAAUUGUGGGCUUUAUUUCCUAAUAGGCCAAUACAAGCUUACUUCCUAUUUGAUUAUGACACAAAUCCAAUAUUUAUAUGUAUUAUAUUAGGAAUCUAGGUCCUUAUCUAUUAUCUAAUCCAGGAUGAGACUCAUGAGAGGACGAGAGGACGAGAGGAACAACCGAACAAACAAUAUGUAAACAUGAAGACGACCUUCCUCUCUCGCCUCUAAAAACCUUGAUCGCUCCCCUUCAUGUAACCGCCCGCUUCUCUCUUCCUUACUUCGAUCAGUAUCUAAACCUAGGGCUUUAUUUCUUCUGAGCAUUUUCUAUUGAGCUCUCUAACCGACCAAACAAUAUCCUUUUUCCAUAGAUCUCGUCAUCUAUGUUACUUUAUUGGCUUAUAAUUUAUCUUUUGUUCAUUGGCCGGCCCCUGUUAGUUUUAAAUCCUGGCUCCGCCUUGCAAGUACUAUGAAAGUAUGAAUGCAUAUUAACACAAGAUUUUGAUAGAUAGCCCCAUUAUUUGUAAUGACAUAUCGAAAUAUAAGGCAACACCAUCCUUCACAGUUCACACUUGCCCGUUUGUUUUCACACUUGCCCAUUUGUUCUCUAAGAGAAAUUUUAUUCACACACUCUUAAAUACUAAAUGCACAUACAUAAAAUACCAAAUACACAUACAUUUUUUUAUACAUCUAACGUCAAAAAGUUUAAGUAUAUUAAAUUACCAAAAGAGGUUUAUAUUAAUUAUAUAAUAUUAUUAAAAACUUGAAAUACACUAUAUCUCACUUUAAAGUUUUAUUCUCUCUGCAUGAAUGAAAUUUCAAACUUAAAAUUUGAUAAUAGGCAUAUUCUUAAUCAAAUUGAUUGAGGAUUAAUUAUGGUCUCAUGGGCAAGAGCUUAAUGAUUCAUAAUAAUGAAUUCCCCUAAGCAGAUGAAGGUUUUUGGUUGGCUUCGACCAUGCAAAGACUUAGAAUGGUACUGUCUGUCUUAUAAACAAGUGGAGUAUCCAUGCUCGAGGUUUUCAAGCAGAAGAGACUAAUGAUCUAGUUUGGCAUCAGUUUUGCAAUGAUCUAAAACAUGUUUUAAAGAAAUUGUGAAUGAAAUAUGUUCUGUAUAGAUAUGAUAACAGUACAAUGAAUUGGUCUAUAUACAUCUACCAUGAUAACUAUUCUAGGAAAGGCAUGAUUACAUAUAUCAAGAUCCUAUAAACAUUCAUAGAAAAGAUAUGUCAGAAUCCCGAUCCACCAUUUACUCCAUUAUAUCUCCAAUCUACUUGAAUGCAUAUCAGUAGAUUACUUCAUUCCAUAAUACUCUCCCUCAAGUUGGAGAGUGAAUGUCUAUCACACCCAACUUGCUAAGGUGUGUGUGGAAUACUGGCGCACGCAGAGGCUUGGUAAACAAGUCUGCAAUAUGUUUUCCAGUUUGCACAUAAGCAGUCUUGACUUCACCCUUUUGAAUUCUCUCUCGAACCGUAUGGCAAUCUAACUCAAUGUGCUUCGUUCGCUCAUGGUAUACUGGAUUUGCUGCAAUGUGUAAGGCUGCUUGAUUAUCACAGAAUAACCUUGCUGCCUCAGGAUGUUGCACCUGCAAGUCUUUCAAUAAGUAUCUCAACUAGCUGAGUUCACAAGUGGUUGCAGCCAUAGAACGAUAUUCAGCUUCGGCAGAUGAUCUUGAAACUGUGGCUUGCUUCUUGCUUUUCCAUGACACAAGUGACUUACCAAGAAAAAUACAAUACCUUGUUACUGAUCUUCUGGUGAUGGGACAUCUUGCCCAGUCUGCAUCGUAAUAGACGACCAACAAGGGUGAACUAUUUGAAGGGAAUAAUAAGCCUUGUCUAGGAACUGUCUUAAGGUAUUGAAGAAGUCGGUUUGCUGUUUUGAGAUGAUGCACCUUAGGUUCAUGCAUAAAUUGACUGAGUGUGUUCACAGCAUACGUAAUGUCUGGUCUAGUGUAAGAUAAAUCAGCUUCCCAACCAAUAUCCUAUACCGAGAGGGAUCCUUGAGAGCAUCACUCCCUUUCUCAGUUAACACCAAGUCAGGCUCCAUAGGUACCUUGGUAGGUUUCACACCAAGAAGUCCCGCCUCCUCCAAUAUAUCCAACGUAUAAUUACGUUGACAAAUUGAAAUUCCAGCUUUGGAUCGUGCAACUUCUAUGCCAAGAAAAUACUUGAGGGGUCCAAAAUCUUUAAUCUUAAAACAACUGUUGAGGAACUUCUUGAGAUCCCGAAGAAAUUUCGGAUCAAGGGUUGUGUGUUGGAUUUUAAUUUCAUGAGAUGAACCCAAGUGAAACGAGUAAAAUCAUCAACAAUGGUGAGAAAAUAACGUGCUCCAGAAUGAGUGUGAGUUUUGUGAGGGCCCCAAAUAUCACAAUGAAUCAAGUCAAAAGAUGCAGUGGAUUUUAUUGAACUUGAAGGAAAAGAUAAACGAGUUUGUUUGGCUAAAGGACAAAUAUCACACACAUGUUGUGGAUCAAAAACUAUUUCAAGAAUGGUUUGAGAUAACCAGUGAAGAGGUGAAGAUGACAGGUGUCCAAGCCGUUGAUGCCAAAGGUCUGAGGUACGUGUGACAUGAUUUGCUAGGUGGGGGUUUUGGCUUGGGUUGAGGUAGCAGAGUCCGUUAAAAUGCUUGCCCAGGCCAAUCGUCCUCUUCGUAUCCACGUCCUGCACAACACAAAAAUCCGGGUAAAAAAUCAUAAUGCAUUUCAAAGCUCGAGUCAAUUUACUCACAGAUAUCAAAUUUACUCGGAAUUUAGGUACAUGAAGAACACCAUCAAGAUUCAAAUCUGUUGACAACUUAAUUGUUCCAAUACUCUCAAUGGUGGCUUUCCCACCAUUAGGUAGACCAAAAAAAUCAUGAGAUGUUGUAAUUUUGUUGUGAGUAGGUGAUAAAUAAGAAACAUGAUCCGUUGCUCCACUGUCUACGAUCCAAUAUAAUGUAGAAUGAGGAUCAGUAUGUGUGAUAUUGCAGUUGGGUGUGACUAUGCGUCGUGGUGUAGGAUAUGCAUGUAUGUCAUAUCUGGUGAGGUUUUGGACAGUGUGUUCUUCUGUGUUGGCCAUAACGUCGAUUUGAUAGUGUCUAGUUUAACUGUGUUUGAUAUGUUUACGGAAGAUGGAUGAGUCUCUAGAGUCACCAAGAUUGGUGCUCUGAUACCAUAAAGAAAUUGUGAAUGAAAUAUGUUCUGUAUAGAUAUGAUAACAGUACAAUUAAUUAUUGGUCUAUAUACAUCUACCAUGAUAACUAUUCUAGGAAAGGCAUGAUUACAUAUAUCAAGAUCCUAUAAACAUUCAUAGAAAUGAUAUGUCAGAAUCCCGAUCCACCAUUUACUCCAUUAUAUCUCCAAUCUACUUGAAUGCAUAUCAGUAGAUUACUUCAUUCCAUAAUAUGGUCCAAAAUAAUGAAUAUGCAAAGAAUUCUACAUAUAUUGAUUGAUCAUGAUGGAGUAGUUUGAAUGCUCUUGAGUUUUUUUUUUAAAAAGUCUUCUCAUUUUUUAGCAAAGAGAGAGAGAAAGCUUUUAUUUUCUUUCUAAGUCGAGAUGAUAUAAAAAAUGAAUAAAUAUGUAUUUAGAAAAUAUAUAUGGUAGCAUGGUAUAUUUUUAAUGAGGGUAGUUUAGAAAGUUUAAAGACGUGUAUCUAGUAAAAUGUUAGUAUUAUAAAAUUAUUUGGUGGUGUAUUUAGUAUUUAGCCAUACGUGAAUAAAAUUACUCGUUCUCUAAAGCUCUAAACAGUUGAAAAAAAAAAAAAACUAUUUUUGCAAACCCACAGCAAUGACAGCAUAAUCCUACAAAGCAGAAUCUUGAAUAUUUAUAAGAGUGAUAAGCGAGUGCUAAACAGCAAUGAGUUGACCACACAAAGAAUAUGUAGAACCAACAUACCUGCCGAACAAGGGUGCCAAAUGGUGACUUGACCAUGAUGUGCAUUGGCGUUUUUUUUUCAUCAAAAAUUUUAAGACCUGAAGCCAAAGGAGAAGAAGAACUUAGCAUACAUGAAACAACAUAUGCAUCCCAAAAUAACGAAAAUCUUUUAUGCACCACGGUGCAAAUGAACCGAACAACUAAUAUGUAGUAAUUUGAUCCGGCUAUCUAUGUCGCACUACAUACAUAAAUAUUAAUACCGUUAACAAAAUUGAAACCUAAAAAAAUAAUCUUAAGUGUUUCCAACUAAGGAGGUGAGGACACUAGGUCAAAGAAGAUAUACUCUUAUAAUGAGAGUUUUAUUUAAUCGGAUCAAAAAUGAAAAUAAAAUGAAUGAUUUGAGCACUUACACAUUAAUGAUGCACUUGGUGCAAGUGCACAUUGAUACGUAUAAUCCGCUUUCUCAAAAUAAAAAAACAAACCGUAAAUGAGGGGGCAUAUCUCUGUGGAUGUAGAUAACGCAUGAAGCAGGUUUACGUUAGUUUACCACUGCUGUUGAAGACAUAGAAAGGAACACACCAACGAAUACGCCCUCAGAAAUUUUACCUCCACAUAACUGCAAACAGCAUCCAAUCAGAACUGCAGCAUUGAGAAUAAAAAAAACUUUGUAUAAUCCAGUCUACAUCAGCGAAAGCUAUGGCUUCACAAUCAAUGUCGAUUAUAGUUAUCUUAAGCACACCCGUCCAAUAAACGAACCAAAGAGUGGUAAAGAUGUAAUCAUAAUACUGAAUGUCAAGAUGCAAGAGCAGAAUAGAGGCAUAUACCAGUCAAUUUCAUGUCUUGCACAAAUACUGCACCUCUCACUCUCCAACACAGAAGAAUAGCUAAUGGUACUCCACAUCCUGUUAGUUUUAAGGACUCAGAUGCUAAAUCCCAGUGCGAUAGGUUAUACUUGUCACUCAGUGUAAACCCUAACACAGUCAAAGUAGUUGGAGGAAUAAAGCACCAAGAAGAAAUAAUCUACAGCACCGUUAAAAGAGGAAAUUACCAAUGAGCAAAACUAAACUAGAGUUAAAAGAACAUAUGCAGUAUAAUUAUGCAUACUGAUUAUAAAGGGCAUCUUAUCAUUUUAAUCGAGCACAUCGAAACGAGCCUCACCUCUACAUCCGCCUCCUCCACCGCCGUGCAUACCUCGGCCAGCCAAGCAGAGGUACCCCUACAUCGUCCAUGGCUGUGGAUAUGGUACCGGCCCCUACAUACUUGCCUGCAACAAUUCUAAUCGAAUUGAAUCCUAUUAUAAACCAUGAUUUACAAUCCCGUGACAAGUUAACUGUAAAGCAUUAAUUAGGAAAACUGUGAUACUAAUUCUAUAAAAUAAACCACACAGGGAAUGAACAUACAAAACUUGAUCAAAAUUCAGAGAUAUAUUAUUUCAUGGAUCCGAAACAGAGUACAUACACAUAGACCUCCUCAUCACCCGAACAAAUCCCCAAGCACAAAUUAUGAGUAGUCGUUUUAUAAUAGUCCAUGACAUGAAGGACAGUCCUCGAUAAACACUGUACUGUAAACAUCAUCCAAACAAAUAGAAAAAGCCUCCCCGAAUGUGGUCUCCAAAUCCUACAGACAACAAUAGUGACUCAAGCUCAAACCCUAUAGAAUAUGCACAACAAUUGCACGCACAAAGUAAAUGUAAUUCUACGAAAGACUAACUUGGAAGUAUCAACUACCAAAAGUUUAUUUUUAAUGGAAAUUCGGUGACAUGGCGGCGGUUUAUUAACCGUCUCUAUCAUUUGUGUUCUAUACUAAAACAAUCUAUGGGAUUGAUUCCCAUAAGUACAUAUAUAUCUGAUCUCUAGCUUGAGACACAGGCAUAUAUAAUCUCAACAAGUUAAAUAAAAACAGAUUAACAAAAAAAGAUCAUGGAAACGAUCCAUGAUCCACAUCCUCAUCAAUAAUCGCGAUCUCUAGCUCUCUCUUUGUUGAUUUGCAUGCGUAAUUGGGAUAGCUGGAUAGCGCAUAAUUGAAUAACCCAAAUGCAAGACUUCAAUAAAACGAUAAACUUAAGAGACUAUCGGAAACCAACUUUGUCCAUUCACUCGUUCCCGCGCAUCGUUAUUUCCAUCAAUGUAAUUGUUUGCUGAAAAAUAGUCGGUUUUUCCAUCAGCUAAGUUAUAGAUGCCAAUCAGUAAAUGACCAGUGGUGUUUGUUGCAUAAUAUAUGCAGUUUCCACCUCCGAGUCCAUUAAACGCCUUGUCCUUCAAUACAGUUGACACUGAACUGGUUAGCUUUGACAAUGGAAUCGAGAUAUCUCUGUUCAAGCGUGAGAAACUAUUUGCACUUAUGAAGAUUGUCUGGUCUUCAAGAGUAGUCUCUGUCAACUCAGGUUCCGAGCCAACAUCUAACUUGAACACCCCAAAUGGAGCAUCUGGAUUCUGCAAAUACCUGUCGGGAUAUUUAGCACUACCAAAAUACCGAUCCCAUAUAAGCAAAAUUUCACCUUCAGAAGUUAUCAUGAAGUAAGGAUAAGUCUCAAGUCCAUACAGGUUCUUGUGUCGUUCAAUUAAACUUCCAACUUCAAAUUGCUUGCCUACGUAGAUCUGACUUUCGGCUUUAGAAAAAACCUCUAGGGGAUCAAAAACAACAAGAUAUUGAACACCAUAUCCCCCGUUAGCAAAUGCGUACAACUUCCCAUCCUUAUGGAAUUGAAGUUCAUGAAAAUGAAUUCUAUAUUUGGGGCCUGAUUGGUAAGUCCAUGAUUUGUCACCUGGCCUGCAAAAUGCCAACUUGUAUGUGCGUGGUGUUAGUAUUGUUGCUACAAUGCAACCAGAAGAUCUCGGGUUUGAGGAGGCCGCAGAUAUCAUUGGUACUUCAUUGGAGGGUGGCAGCAUAAUUCGAGCACCUGUUAUCAGAUUCAACAAGUAGUUGAUGCUCCAUCCAUAAGCACUAGGGGACUUUCGCCAUUUAUGUUCGCUCAUUAUCAAAUAUCCAUCAAUACACCCUACGAACAUCAUAUAAUACGAAGGAUCUGCAGUUGCUUUUGAAAACGUAAAAUUAUAGACACUGUCUUCACUUGGACUAUAGAGACUACAGAGUGCAGUUGCCGAGUCCACAGACCGAACCCGUUUCAAGAUCCAUGGAAAAAGGGUUGCUCGUUGACACCAUUUUGACGACGCUCUUCUCCAUGAGGUACACACAGCAGAGAACUUAAGUGAAUCAAUGAGUGAUAACCGCUUCAUCAACAUCUCAAUCAAGUCAUCAGGAAGAUACUCAGACCACCUAUUCGAGACCGAGAUUACUCCAUGGGCACUUUCACCAUCUCCUAAUUCCAAUCGACGGCAAAGUUUUUUUUCAAUGUAUCAUCUUGAAAACUUGUUGCCUUAGUUCUACCAUCAGCUCUGCUGCAACUGAUACCCAUUCUCGAUCUUCUAAAUAACUUAUACUCUUGAUUGAUAGGCCUGAAGAAUAGAUUAACUAGUUAAUCAAGUGUACAGAAGCUGAUCAUAUUUAGCAUCGAAUAGAAAUAAAAGAUAAAUUAAAUUAGUGUAUUUAUGCUAAACGUCUCAUAAUCUACCAUGAUCAUAUUCAACAUAAGUUUAAUGAUGAACCAAACUCUUCAUAUCGAGCAACUAGCUUAUACAUGUAAUAAUUAACAAACAAUCAUGUAAUUAAAGAUGGAGUGAUAUUAAAUACAACUUACAAUUAACUUAUCUUAGAGAAUUGCCUACAACAACAAAUUAAUUAAACCAGAACGAUCACCAUCGAAUAAACAAAACCAGAAUAAUUAGUUCUUAUUAGGGUUUGGAGUUUUAGUUAUGAGACAAGGACCUAUGAUUAAAGAAAACAUGAAACAUCUAGGUCAGGAGAGUACGUGAACCCACCUAAAAACAUGAAUCAACCCAAGUCCAGAAACAGCCCUCUCAGAAAUCAAAGAAACGCAGCAACACAAAAUAAAAUGUUUAAACACCGCCGCGCCCGGUAUAGGUGGGACGUCGCGUUGUGUUAGCACUUCGCUAUCUCUAUCAUUAAUGAAUGAGGACUCCUCAAUCGAAUUGGACUGCUCUCUCUGAUGGGAUGCAGUAGCUGCAUAUCUCUUAUUCUUCUGUACUUCCUUUAUUCUAUCUUAGUUCGUUUGGUUAUUAGGCCCAGUAUGUAAAAGUUCCAUCUGACCCAAUAGUAGGAGUAGUUAUCUCUAGCAGUUAGUACUUAAUAGUUCUCUGGAUAUAUAUCUCUUUUUUUUUUUUUUUGAUACUAAAAUACAAGGAAAAACAAGAAAAGCUAGAGGACACUGCCUCGUGGGCAGCCUUCACCAAUUUGGUCAAACAGGAUCAUUCUUCCAAUAGACCUGGGCAAAGGUUGGAACCAGUCUCUUCUUCCUGUUAUUGAAUGUCCCAAACUUUCUGUGGCGUCUGCUGCAAAAUUUGCUUCCCUGUAUAUGUGGUUAAAGCAAAUCUCCUGGAACUCUUGAGCCAAGUUUUUAAUGUCUUCUAUAAUCUGUUGGAGCCUCCAUGGGGUGCUAAUUUUGCCAUUCACUACAUCAAUAAUGAUUUUGGAGUCACCCUCUACAAUGAUCCUUGUCAGCCCCCUGUUCUUGGCAAUGAGGAUGCUGUCUCUUAGUGCCGUCGCUUCAGUUGUGGGAACCGAGGCCUUCCCAAUGUUCUUUGAUGAAGUAAUAAUUGGUACACCUUCAGAAUUCCUGAUGAUAGUACCACAGGCUGCAGAAGAGGAAGUCACCGAGCCAUCAAAGUUUACUUUGAAAGUGGAUGCAGGAGGUGGUUGCCAUUUAAUGGCUGAUGGUGUUUUGAAAGAACCAACCCUGCAAUUCAUGUUAUUUUCCUUGAAGCCUUUCUCUAUAGAAGCAGCAACACUAAUAAUGGUUAGAGGGGAGGUACUAAUGUUUCUGAAAGAAGCAUCGUUCCUGGCCUUCCAAAUCAUCCAACAAAUAGUUAGAAUUUUCUCAAAAUCAUUUUUGUUGUAAUUUCUUUUCCUCAAAAAGAGAUUCAGUUUAUUUAAGAAUGUAUCACUUCCAUGAAUAAGAUCAUGGAGGCAAGCUUUUCUCCAAACAUUUGUUGCAAUUGUACAAUCACCAAAAAGAUGAUCCAAAGUUUCAUUGUCUGAUAAACAUAAUGAACAGGUGUUAUCAUGUAUUUGGUUAAAACCUUGACAGUCUGUCUUUUGUUUUCAGUCUUCCUCUUAAAAGAAGCCAGCUGAACAUUUUAAUUUUUGGAGGGAUGUUUAGCUUCCACAUUCUAUUUAUCAGUUUAAUUUGGGGGUGUUUUUCAGAGAACUUACAUUGGAUCCAAGUCGCUGUUUUGAUGGAGAACUUAUCAUUUGCAGCGGGUCCCCAGACACAUCUAUCAUUCUGGUUAUUUAUGGGGAUAGGAAUUCCCAUUAUCUGUUUGACUAUUUCCCAAUCCAGGACUUGGAGCAAUUUUUCUUUGUCCCAGCUAUUUCCUGCAAUAAAGUUACUCACAUUUGCAUCCCAAUUAAUAGUAGCUUUCUGCUGAUCAUUUAACAAAUUGAUAAGAGGAAAAUCAAAAAUCCAAUUAAAAGUCCAGAAUUUAACCUCCUUUCCUGUGCCAAUAGUCCAUCUCAUCCCUUUUGUAAUGAGAUCUCUACUAUCCAGGAUGCCUUUCCAAGCAACGGAGUCACUACUUUUCUUUUUUGUUUCAAAGAAGGAAUGGUUCUUUAAAUACUUAUUCUUCACUAUUUGAACCCACCAGUUAGAGUGGUCCAUGAUAAUCUUCCAACCAAGCUUUGCUACAGCCGCUUUAUUAAAGUAGGCUGAGGGUCUAAUUCCUAAGCCUCCAAUGGAUUUAGGAGUACAUACUUGUUCCCAAGCUACUGGUGGGUUUUUAGAAUCACCCCACAAAAAACUCCUUGAUUCUGUAUCUACCGCCUUUGUGGUUCUCUUAUCACAAUUAAAACAAGACAUAACAUGAUUUGGCAUUCCAGCCAGGUUUGUUUUGAUAAGGGUGACUCUGCCAGCAUGAGAAAGAGUAUUCUUUUUCCAGCCGGCAAGUUUAUUAGAAAUUUUAAGGAUUAGUUCCUUUGAGUUAAUAGGGUCUUUCCAACAAGCAACGUUAUGGAUGCCUAAGUAUUUUUCGAUAGUGCUUUUUUGUUGAAUUCCCAAGAUAUUGACAAUGUCAUUCUUCCUGGAGCCACAAACAUUUGGAGAAAAAUAAAGAGAAGACUUAUGGAAGUUUAUUUUCUGUCCUGAAGCAGUGGCAAAGUCACUUAAGGUUUUAAGAAUAUUUCUGGCACCUCUAGGAGUUGCUUUAGCAAAAAUUAGACAAUCAUCAGCAAAGACAAGGUUGGAAAUUCUAGGUCCUCUGGGAGCUGAAACUAUCCCUACUUGGUUCCUAGGUUUCUCAGCUAGCUUAUUGAAUUCUCGAAUAAGGGGUUCCAUACAGAGAAUAAAAAUAUAAGAGGAUAAAGGAUCUCCCUGUCUAAUACCUCUCGAAGGCUUAAACCAACCUUCAGGUUUUCCGUUGAUUAUUACUGAGAAAGAAACUGAGCUUAUACAGUUCAAGACCAUGUUAAUCCAAUUAUCGCAGAACCCAAACUUUGUCAAACACGCUUUGAUAUACCUCCAAUUGAGGAAAUCAUAAGCUUUUUCUAGGUCUAACUUGACCGCCAUGUAACUCUGGAUAUAUAUCUUUAUUCUGUAAACUGUAUGGGUAUGAAUGAAGAAACAAUAUAUCUUAGCAGUUUAUCUAUCUCUUUGUAUUUAAAUCUUGUUCCCAUCACUGGUAUCAGAGCCAGAAAUGGCUCCGGCAAGAACCUUGCAAACCACAAUUCUGUCCACCAUUUCGCCUUCUAAUGCUCAGGUCCCAAAUAUUAUAUCUCAUCAACAUUUUCCACCACUUUCACCAACAUCUUCUCGUUUUGACGAGACGAAUAGAUUACAAGUAGAGGAGAUUCGUCAUUUUUUGCAAAAUGAACUUCAUCAUUCAAUUGAGGCUAUCCAUCGCAACCGAGCAUCCUUCCAAAGUGAGAUUGCAUCACAGAUUGCAGUGUUGCAGAACACAAUGAUGCAAGCCUUAACGUUGCGUCCAAUUUCUCAUAACACCCAUCAUGCAGUUACUCAACCAGAAACCGUUUAUAACCACCAGUGCCAACAUGCCAAUUCCAAUUUCUUUACAGCAUCGCCACAAUCGUCCAUCAUUACUUCCAUUCCUUCCAACUCUCACAUUCGUACCAUGUCCAUGAGUAAUUCUUGUAAUAUUUCAUCAACCAAUACAAAUCACCAACCACUACCACCACCAAACACAAGUACCAAUUUCCAACCACUGCCACCCCCAAACAUAAAUGCCAAUAUUAAUCCAAACCCAAACUUUUGGUAACAAGACAUGCCUUUGUUUCGACCUCCAAAAGUGGAUUUACCAUGGUUCCAUGGUGACGACGCAUUGGGAUGGCUCACAAUGGCAGAGAGGUAUUUGCGCUCUCAACGCAUUCCUCCCUUGGAGUAUAUACCGACUGUAACCUCUCACUUCAGACCAGAUGCUUGUAUGUGGAUGAAUUCUUUUGAGGAAAGAAAUCCUUGGGCAACUUGGGAACAAUUUUCUUCUGCCAUCCUCGAACACUAUGGAGCGAGUAGCAUCACCGAUAUUCAAAUUGUUUUGGCAUGCUUGGAGCAAACUACAACAGUAGAUGCUUUCAUUGUUGCUUUUACAAAACUUUCUAGUAGAGCUUAUGGAUGGACUAAAGCACAACUCUUGCCAAAUUUCCUGGGAGGACUGAAACCUGAGAUUUGUCAUGAUGUACAAGUCAUGGAACCAAGAACUUUAGCAGAAGCACAAAGACUGGCGCGGAGAUUAGAAGCAAAAUUGAAUGAUUCUCGGCUACACAGACUUUCUCGACCAUCAGGUGCUUGGUCUUCCUCCUCAAAACAAAACACUAUAGGUUCUCAAAAUUCCUCCAUCAACUGAACCAAUCCUGAUAAUUCAGUGCGACAAUGGGCAGCCAAGGACCAGCGUGAAUGAAGCGCUCAAGGUCUUUGUUUUCACUGCGAUGAAAAAUGGUCAAGAAAUCAUACCUGCAAGAAACCCAUGAUAGCUAUCUUAGAAUCACUUAAUACAGUAGAUGAAGAAGAAUCAGAGGUUUAUGCGCAACAAGACUCAAAUGCAAAACCAAACCAAGAUUUUCCCUUACAUGCUAUUACGAAUUCCACAGUCGGUGAGAUGAUGCGGUUUAAGGGAAAAAUUAAGGGAGUAACAGUGGAUGUCUUUGUUGAUUAUGGGUCGGCCAACAAUCUGUUGAAUAUAUCCACAAGUAGCUGCAAACUUGGGUUUACAGGUUGUACAUGUAGAACAUCUGAAGUUCACAUCACUGACUUGGCAUCCAGUUUCAAUAUUCAAUCAGGCAAUUGACGUACCCGUAGAGAUUCAAGGAUAUGAGUUUAAGAGUUCGUUUCGCUUACUUGAUGUCCCAAAUUGUGAUCUCCUCUUUGGGAGCUCCUUGGCUUGAGUCGUUAGGGAUGAUGGGGUGGCACUUCUUGGAAAAAAUGAUGAUUUUUUAGUAGAGUGGUCCCUGCCAUGUUUUAAAAGGAAUACGACGUCAUCCUGAACAAUACAGCGAUGGUUCGCUAAUGACCUUAAUGUCCUUUGCACAAUUGGAUGAGGAUAUUAUACCACCAGGCCCAACUGAAGAGAGCAGUACAAUACAGGACCCACAAGUACAACAGUUGAUAGAGAAGUUUCAAGGGCUAUUUGCAGUACCAAAAGAAUUACCUCCAGUUAGAUCGGUUGAUCACCGUAUCCCUCUGAAGCCUAAUACAGGUCCAGUCAAUGUUCGACCUUAUCGUUAUCCACACUCACAAAAAUUAGAGUUGGAGUCAUAGGUCAGUGAAAUGCUUUCUACCGGCCUCAUUUGUCCAAGUCAAAGUCCGUUUUCUUCUCCGGUUCUUUUGGUUCGAAAGAAAGAAGGGACAUGGCGAUUAUGUGUUGAUCAUCGUAGUCUCAACGACGCCAUAAUUAAGGACUGAUUUCCUAUUCCGGUGGUUGAUGAACUCUUGGACGAACUUCAUGGUGUAAAGUAUUUUUCCAAAUUGGAUUUGCGUGCUGGUUAACAUCAGAUCCGGAUGUAUGAAGAAGAUACUCACAAGACGGCUUUUCACACACAUGAAGGCCAUUAUGAAUUUGUGGUUAUGCCGUUCGGUCUAUCGAAUGCGUCUUCUACUUUUCAAGCACUUAUGAAUUACAUAUUCCGCUCCGUUCUACGGAAGCAUGUUCUUGUAAUUACAUAUUCCGCUCCGUUCUACAGAAGCAUGUUCUUGUGUUCUUCGAUGAUAUUUUGGUGUAUAGCGCCGAUUUGCCUUCUCAUUUAUCUCACCUGGAGGAAGUUUUCAAGUUAUUGGAGAACAAUGCAUUGAAGGUUAAAAUUUCAAAAUGCAAAUUUGCUGCUCAAUCUGUACAAUAUCUGGGCCACAUUAUCUCUGAGAAAGGAGUCGCAAUAGAUCAGGAGAAAGUAUUAUGCUUGAAAGAAUGGCCAAAACCAACUACAAUAAAAGGAUUGCGCGGCUUCUUGGGAUUAGCCGGGUAUUAUAGAAGGUUUGUACGAGGAUUUGGUCAAAUUGCUCAACCUUUAAAUGCCAUGUUGAAGCAUGACAACUUCAAGUGGACUCCUUUAGCAGAACAAGCUUUUGAGAAGUUGAAAGAUGCCGUGACUUAUGCUCUUGUGCUAGCUAUGCCAAAUUUUCAGGAACCUUUUUUCUUGGAGACAGAUGCUAGUGGUGUCAGCAUUGGCGCAGUCCUGUCACAAAACAAACAUCCAGUGGCCUAUUUGAGUAAAACUCUUUCUCCUAAAAAUCAAGCUUUAUUUGUUUAUGAUAAGGUGAUGAUGGCUAUCCUAUAUGCAGUAGAAAAGUGGUGUCCUUAUCUUUUGGGGAGUAAGUUUACCAUUAUCAUUGAUCAUUGUACCUUGAAGCAUUUAUUGGAUCACAGCAUUUCAACUCCUUCUCAACAUAAAUGGCCGGGCAUAGGUUGCAAAAUUACUUGGUUAUGAUUAUUCCAUUGAGUAUAGGCCGAGAUUGUUAAACAUAGUACCUGAUGCUUUGUCAAGACAGUCUGAACUAUUGGCAUUGCAGUCCAUCUCUGCUCCAGUCUUUGGAAGUUUAAACCUCAUUAGACAAGCUUGUUGAUCGUUCGAUUGUUUCUGAUCGUGAUCCUAUCUUCAUAAGUCAAUUCUGGACAUCUUUUUUCAAGUUGCAAGGAAUAAGUACUCUUUGUCGCAGCUCUGCGUAUCAUCCUCAAUCCGACGGUCAGACAGAAGUUGUUAAUCGAACUUUAGAGCACUACCUUCGAUGUUUUGUUGCAGACAAGCCUGCAUCUUGGGGUGAAUUGAUUCAUUGGGCAGAGUGGUGGUAUAAUACCACAUUUCACUCCACCAUUAAAAUGACUCCCUUUGAAGCCUUGUACGGCCGUCCUCCUCCAUCUAUACAAUGAUACAUGCCUGGUUCAACUAAUGUCCAAGCUGUUGACGCUGCUCUUCGUUCUAGAGAUGAGCUCUUGCAGUCAUUGAAACACAACAUGCAUUUGGCUCAAAAUCGUAUGAAACAACAGGCCAAUAAACAUCGUUCUGAAAGGGAAUUUUCAAUUGGAGAUUGGGUUUACCUUCGUCUGCAUCCUUACAAGUAAAGUUCUUUGUCAAAGCGUACUUCUCAUAAGCUGGCUCCAAAAUAUUUUGGACCAUUUCGUGUGUUAGAACGAAUUGGCUUUGUCGCCUAUCGGUUGGAUUUGCCUACUUCUUCAAAGGUUCAUCCGGUGUUCCAUGUUUCUUUACUGAAGUUGAGGAUUGGUAACUCUGUUAUGACAUUACAGAUUUUGCCACCUAUGCAUAAGCAUGGUUGCUUUACAUAGAGUCCAUUCAAAGUUUUAGAUAUGGAUGUGUUUACCGAAAAAGGCAAAUUAGAAACUUACUGGUUUCUUCAAUGGACGGGGAUGCCUGAGGAAGAUGCGACUUGGGAACUUGCUAAAGCUAUUAUGGCUCAGUUUCCUCAAUUCAGCGACCGAGGACGUCUUGCCUCUCAAUGGGGCGGUAUUGAUGGGAUGCAGUAGCUGCAUAUCUCUUAUUCUUCUGUACUUCCUUUAUUCUAUCUUAGUUCUUUGUCUGUAGUAGGUUUGGGUUAUUAGACCCAGUAUGUAAAAGGUCCAUCUGACCCAAUAGUAGCCCAAUAGUAGGAGUAGUUAUCUCUAGCAAUUAGUAGUUCUCUGGAUAUAUAUCUUUAUUCUGUAAACUGUAUGGGUAUGAAUGAAGAAACCAUCUUAAUACACACACACACACACACACACACACACACACUCUCUCUCUCUCNNNNNNNNNNNNNNNNNNNNNNNNNNNNNNNNNNNNCUCUCUCUCUCUCUCUCUCUCUCUCUCUCUCUCUCUCUCUCUCUCUCUCUCUCUCUCUCUCUCUCUCUCUCUGUGUGUGUGUGUGUGUGUGUGUGUGUGUGUGUGAAAACACAAAAAGUUAGACAUUUUGUAAGGACCGUUUGUUUUACCGCAUAUAAGUCCUGAUAGGAAAAAUUAUUGCCAACCUGAUUGAUAGCGUUUGGGGAGAUGGAUAACUUGCUCCCAGAAAAUAUUUAUCAUGUUAGAGUUUCAUAACAAAUCCAGUUAGAACGGUAAGAUAAAACUUAUCCACCCAGGUUUUCUCUCUUUCUACAACCACGUGUCCAUGUGCUUACUCUGAGAGAAAAUAAAGGUGAAAAGAAAAUAACAAACUACAUAUACCUCUUUCAAAAAGAUUUGAAACACAAAUACAUCUACUAACAAUGUUUUUAAACAAAUAAAGACAAUUUUUAUCAAAUAAGGACAAAUUAUUUUGUGUUUGCCAUGUGUCAUGGUUUAAUUUACCAAACUAACCUUAUACAAAUUAAAUCAAAUUAAAUAAGACCCAGUCAUGUCUUGCUUUAGCUGCUAUUGUACUUGCUGGAAUGUUGCUGCAACUGUUAAGUUAUGCUACAACAGUUUUUGUCAAAUUCUGCUAUUGCAGCACUUUUCCUCAAAUUUUGCUAUUGCGAUAGUACUCGUCAAUUUAGUAGUAUUCUGCAACUGCAAAUCCAAUGAGAAACCCAACUUAAACACCGUAUGCCAACAGUAGCAGCAAGACCUAACCAUCAGUAGCAAUAGCAACAAGACCUGAAAUCUACAACAGUAGCAGCAAGACAUGUACUUGUUGCUACUGCACUUGCUGGAAUGUUGCUGCUACUGAACUUGCCGGAAUGUUGCUGCAACUAUUAAGUUAUGCUACUGCAACAGUUUUCGUCAAAUUCUGCUAUUGCAGUACUUUUCCUCAAAUUUUGCUAUUGCGACAGUACUCGUCAAUUUAGUAGUAUUCUGCAACUGCAAAUCCAAUGAGAAACCCAACUUAAACACCGUCAUGACAACAAUAGCAGCAAGACCUAACCAUCAGUAGUAAUAGCAACCUAAAAUCUACAACAGCAGCAACAAAACCUGAUUGUCAUGGCAACAGUAGCAGUAGCAGCAAGACCUGAAAUCUACAACAGUAGCAACAAAAUUUGAUCGUCAUGACAGCAGUAGUAGUAUAACUUGGACAUAUCCCUCAAAAGCUACCAAUGAGAUCGACUACUCUACCACCACCCCUCUCCAGGUCGUCAAGCUCCACACCGCCUACUUUAAUAUCAUCUACUCUAAAGUAUUAUCACCCAAGAUAGCUUCCCUGCCAUGAGAGAUGAUCUCCAUCGUUGAUUUCUAGAUCGUGCUUAUGAUGUCGUCGAUCACAUGCCCGACUUACUUAAGCGACAAUUGCGCCAUUGACGCGUCGACCUCGAGCGUAAGGACACUACUCAGAUCACUGUUUAGAGGUUUGAGAGAGAGAGAGAGAGAGAGAGAGAGAGAGAGAGAGAGAGAGAGAGAGAGAGAGAGAGAGAGUAGUAGAGAGAGAGNGAGAGAGAGAGAGAGAGAGAGAGAGAUGUAAAUUAGAUCAUGUGUGGAGGAGAAAAAAAUGUGGCAAUAUGUGUAGUUUUAUCAUAAAGUUAGGGUAUAUUGGUUAUUUGAUAGUGAAAGUUUGGAUAUGCCUAACAUUAUUGAUAUUAGGAUUAGGCUUAGUGUCAUUAUUUGUCUAAAUCUUUUUAAAGAUGAGUUUUUUUGUAUUAUGUAACUGUUUGAGGCAGUAGUAUGUUAUAUUCUCAAAAGAAAACCACGUGCUUGUCCAUCUUUCUUCAACCUUCGAACCAGAUCUCCCUUUUCAAAAGUCAUUGAUCGGUACCACCGUACAGAUAACUUGAUUCUCUUAUUGCCGGCAACCACGACUACCCUCGUCUCAUCUUCAAUCAUCAAGACAACCUGAUCCUUUAAUUGCCGUCGCAUGUACAACAAGUCUGCAACAAAAUGAAAUCGCCGGAAUCAAUGUCAGUUGCCGCCAGCGAUGAGUUCUUCUAAUGGGUCUCUACCAUAGUGAAUUCAAUUGACCUGGAAUCGCUUGUUUCCAUCGAGCCAAAAAAAAUUUCGUUGGGUUGAGUUUUUGUUUUUCUUUAAUUUAAGUUUAUCCGAUCCAGCUUGUUUACUGUUAAGAUCUAAGAUCUAAACAUUGAUUUAAGAUCUAAGCCUUCAAAUCCAAUCUGUUUCCAUUCCAAUCGAAGUCUGACAUGGAUACUGAUCUUUUCCAGUCAGGUCUACCAAACACGGCCUAAGAGUCUAUAGAGUUGUUGGGAAUUUCAGGAUCUGUUUUUGUCUAAGUUGCACAGACACAAUGAUACGAUACGGCACGACACGGCGACAAGGCAAAACUCAAAAACUGAGUUUCCGACAUGGCAAACAGAAUUAUAUAUUUAUAUAUUUUUAAUAAAUAAAAAAUACUAAAUUAUAAUUAUACACAAAAUUUUAUAUAAUUAUACAGAAAAAAAUUAUUUACGACACGUCACGUCAUAAUUAUAAUCUCAUAUAAUUAUGCAGAGAUCGAAUGGGCGAUGUUUUCUUCGUCCGCGUCGUUUCUUGAGUUUCCUCUUCUUUUUUUGAUCAAAAGGAAAUGUUUAUUCAUGAGGAGAGAACCUGAGUUUCCUCUCUUUGUUUGUGUGCAAAUGCUCGACGGAUCUUUACUGCGCCAAUUUAUUUAUUUAUUUAUUUGUAAUUUUUUUUAAGUGAGAAAAACUGAUGUGACAUGUCGUAAAUAGACGUGUCGGGCCAGUUAACGUGUCGGACACUUUUUUUUACCGUGUCAAACUCGUGUCUGCAUGUCGGGAGUGUCCGACACUCCACCCAUGUGAAGUGUUCGUGCAACAUAGGUUUUUGUUAGUGGGAAAAAAAUCCCUAAAUUUAGAGCUAGUGGGUAUUUCCCAUAUUUUUAUUUGUACAAAGGCAAAUUAAUGAUGAUACUCAUGAUAGCAGAAUUGCAUGAAGUUUUGGAAUCUCUGGAGUACUCAAACUAAUGGGAUUGCAGACAAGUAAUGCAACUAUCCUUAAACCAAGGUACCGUGGAUCUCAAGUAUACUACUACCUAGUGUCAACUAAUUAAUCUACAUGAUUACAAAUCAUAUUAUCCAUAAUCAUCAACAUUCCUUUCAGCUCAGCACGUCUUCAUACUCAUCGAUCACGGCAACAAUUGUCUUCUGACGAACCUCUUGCACAGUUAUUGCACCCCAGCAAUGCAUAGGGCACUAACUUUCUUUAUCGUGUCCCUCUUGAUAUACUGCAUAUAUACCAAGCACAGCAUGUGUUAAUCUAUAGGGUAGAAAGUAGAAACAAUACGGUCAUCAUGAGUAGAAUUUAAAUAAUAUAUACAAGUUUUUUCUCGUACCUCGUUUGCUGUGGAUAUAACAUGCUCAUCUACAAUGAUUAUACCAUCAAGAAACUCAGCGCAAAUGGAGAAGCAUUCUUCACCAAUGGCUUCUACUAGUACUUCCCCAUUUUGUUUCUCAAGUAGAACUCUCUUGCCUUUAUGGAAUGACCAUGCCAUUACACUUCUAGUGCGCUCCUCCACACCAAAAACUUUUACCUGCCACAUGAUAUCAACUUAGUUUGAUGCAUAAAACGUAGAAAUUCAAGUUCAACACUAAGAAAUAACCAUAAGGUAACAAACCUUUGGGAAAACCCUCUUUACGUAUGCGGCAAUUCCAGCAAUACGGUUCCCAUCACCGACAGGAACGAAAAUUGCAUGAAGAUUAUCAAUUUUUCCAUCUCCAACCAUUUGAGUGAUUAUCUCCACCCCAAUGGUUCCAUACCCUGUAAUAAUGUCGGUGUGGUCGCGUGAAGGUACAUAGAUUAUGUUUUGAUUUGUAGCAACCUUUUUGGCAUAACCAUCGGAUUCUUGAAUGCAAGUCCCUUUGAAAGCCUUAUAGCAUUGCUUUUUAUCUAAAACAACUUUAAUUUUCUCCCUAUCAUUCUUCGCAAACAAGAAUUGAACAAAAGUUAUACUCCAUUUCAAAUUCAGAAAUUACCAAAGAUCAAAUGGACAUAGAUCACAAAAUCUAAUCUACUUUAUUUGCAUUAAGUAGGCAUAUUUGGGAUCACAACAAGUGAAAGUACCUGUUCAGCAGAAAAAUAAUCAACUGGGAUCGCAACCCUGGCUUCUGAAUUCAAGAGUUGUGCUACACAUGCUACUGUCACUGCAUGUUUUCCAACUGUGCAUAUAAAUGCCCUCCUCUGCAUUUCAUUCAGUGCAUUUGCCAUGAAGUUAUAGGUCCCUCUCCAUCUGUAGGAUGAACCCUGCAUACAUCACAACAUUAGGAACCUAAAACAACUAUGAAUCAAAGCAACAUUAGGAACAAUAGAUAUACUAUAAGUUAUGUGUACUCACAAGUUCCUUCGAGCAGCAGUCUUCUCUUUUGAGUAAUAUCUGUACUUCUUCUGGGGUUGAACUGAACUCACGAGAACAUGUAUGGACUGGUUCUAGGUCCUGUCUUUGAGCAAACUUGCACUCAUAAAUUCUUGACGAGAGUAUGCCACUUAGAAACUUUGGGGAAUUUUCUACAUUAGUGUGUUCAAGGCAAUGCUUCCUCAAUGUUGGGUUAGCUUCGACAAGAGUACCUUUAUCAAAUUCCUGCCCUGGAACUAUCCUUGUCUUCUUACCGUUCCAGAUGCAAACCGCACAAAUCCAAUGCCUAAAACACAACUGAAGCAUCAGUAUACAUGCACAUCAAACAAAACAAUACAAAAGAAAAGAUCAAAAGGAACAUGAAAUAGAGAGAGAGGGAGAGGGAAGUUAAUGAAAAACCACCUGUGUCCACAUAGGUAAGAUGUAGCACUACUAACAACUGCAGUCCCUAAAGGAAGCCACACUGAGGCAAACAACUUCCCAGCAGUGGCUGAGAAAUGGAACUCUCCAUAUCCAAUAGUAUAUGCAGAGACCACAGAAAAAUAGGUUGCAUUUACCACAGAAAAAUCGGUUGCAUUUAACACAGAACAAUCGGUUGCAUUAACUCCAUUGUGAUUCGGCUGCGUUGUGUCACUCAUCUCCUUUGCAUCCCAGAUCCAUAUCCCUAAAAUUCCAGUGCCAAGUGCCAACGACAAACAAUAUCCAAACUAUUGCGAAGAAGGAUUUCCACAUCUGUUUUGUCUUGUCACUAGUGGUAUUGAUAGACUGGAAAAACCACUUCUCCAACUUAUCCCCUACCGAAUUUACCAAAUUUCCAACUGGGUUACCAAAGACAGUACUCAUUACAGUACCCAGUAAAACAAAAGCAACCACCAGACACUUGGCUACAUUUGUAUCAGGAGUCACAUUGCCGUACCCAAUGGUAGUCACGGUGACAAUGACAAACAGUAAGGAGUCGAGGAAACUCGGACGGGCCUCAAAGGAAAGUGUGAUCAGAUACCCUCCUAAUAGGUAGAGAAGAUAUAGGCUUAUACGGAGGGCAAUACAAAAGAACCUGGAUGUCAGCAGUUUCCUGACAUAAAUAAAAUGAAAACAAAAUAUGAGACAAACUGACAAGGUAUAGUGUCAGUUCAUGAAUUUUGCACAAUAUUGAGCUAUAAUGCUAUAUCUAUAGACUACAGUGAUGCAGGGGAGACCUUUAGAACAAUCUUCUCUUACUGGAUUCUAGGAAAUUCAAUUUAGCCGAGAAAUCUGGUACUUUAGGACCAUUAAGGAUUUUAUGAAAUCAACCACAGAGAAUCAAGUAGGAGGAUUUAUAAUAUUUUUAUAGUACUAGCAUCGAGCUACAGGGUCCUAGGUAUCCAACACAGUGGCCUUAGAACCAUAACCUUAUCAGGCAAUUCAUGUAAAUCAAAAACCAUUUCACCGAGAAACUUGAAAAUAGAAAAUCCUCUGAACAAAAAGCCUGUCAUGUAUGAGGUUUCACAUGCUGAAUGCUAUCAAUGCAUAAUUGAAACAACAAAACCACAAUGUGCAAUAACUUUUGGACAUCAAUAAGUUGUAAUAAGUUAAGGAUCACUGAGCAGAGAUGAUGUAGAGCUGUAUAGAAUAGGUGUUUUCUUAAUAAGAUGAAACAGCAGAUUGACGGCUUACAUGGUUAUCAAAGGGAACAUAUAAUAACAAAAGCUUGCGACACAGUUCAACAGCUGUGGAAAAGCGACCACCAAGUACACCUGCAAUUUAUAUAAAGGAAUAAGAACAUGGCUAAGCAUGAAGUUGGAUAAUGCAUGAUAAAAUAGUGCAGUCUGCACUAUUUUACUCUAUGUCGAUUAAUUGCAGGACAAGUAGGGGACAACAUUUAUUGAGAACUAAUUCUCGAUUGUCUAUCAAGUUCCAGAAGAAGCAGAACCGAAAAUCGAUCACAUCUAUAACAGAACAACGUACUGGUGGCUAUAAUGGACACAAGUUGAGGAAGCAGAACCAAAUAUCGAGAAAUCAAUUGAUAGAAUGCAUAAUAUACAGAGUUUGAUGCCUCCUGCUGUUACAGAAAUUCUAUAUAUGAACAAUCAUCAACUCAUGCUAUGCCCAAUCUCAUAUAUAUUGUCUAUAUUUUGCCUUAAUUUUACUGUUACAGGUACCAAAGCUCACAAAUCGAUAUUUCAGUGAAGAACAAAUCGCAAUUUCGCAAGGUCAACACCAGAAUCAGAAUCAAUUGACCAAAUUUACAUUUAAGACUUUGCGGACUGAAGAUCGGAAGCUUACCUUGAUAGUGUCGUGAUCGGGGACUCAGGGGAAGGUCAGGCAACUCCGAUCAGCUUGAGGCUUCCUCCGAUUGUUCAUCUAGGUCAGUGAAGAGAUAGAAUCAGAUCAUAUCAAGAAAACAGAACUGGAAUUAGUCCGUAAUCGAAACUUACGGUGAUUCUUCCUUACCGGGUUCAUCCUCCAUGGAUGACCUUCAAUUCUCCACCUUGCUCUUCGUCUAGGUCUUCUCUCUCUUCGCUUCGCUUCUCUUCUCUUCUCUUCUCUUCUCUUCUCAGUCUUCUCUCGCUUCGCUUUGCUUCUCUUAUCGUCUCCGAUAAACGAGGAUUCAAAAAUGCGAAAGUAGCGGAAAAAAACGACGCCGACUCCUAGUUGGGAGGGAAAAUCAAUUGGGCCAAAGCCCACUAUUUUUAUUUCCACCGUUCUACUUUCACCAAAGGUAAAUAGUUUACACUUUAACACUAGGUCACCUUGAUCCCUUUUUUCUUUUCUUUUUUUUGUAAAAAAAAUUCAUUUAUAAUACCGAUACACCUCGAAAUGGUAAUUAUUGAAGCUAGAAUUUUGUGUUAGAUAGAUCAAGAUCAUUGUAGUAAAAUUUUUGUUUGAUUGGAAUACGUGUUAUAUAGACCCAGAAGCACCAAAAUCGCCGCCAUAAACAGUGAACUCCGACGAAGCCCGAUGACAGCGGAAAACACAAAUCGUCAAAACUCUAUCGAGAUUCGAAAACCAAUUAUACCAGCAGAUAGAACGUGAGGAGGAGGUCGGAUUUCAUACCUCAGGCAGAGUAACUCGCCGACGGAGUCAACGGAAAAUGCAGAAAACACCGCCGGAAAGUCAGAGUUUCUGCCUUCGUCUCUCCCUACACCCCAGCAGCUGAACGAACCUAGAAGGAUGUCGACGAUGACGAGAACAAAAUAGUACCAGUGCGCCGCCAUGAAGUGACCGGAAGACGGAGAUAGACACGGUCGCCGGCGCGGGUCGUCAGUCUCGAGCUCGCUCACUAACCUUAACCUUCUGGAGCGUUCUGAUGUGUGCGAUCAACACUACCCGUUAUAUACUUUAUGUCAAUGGUUGAGAUUAAAUCGUGGUUGAGCCCAACGGUUUAUAUAGCGCACCUCUUUUUAUAAAAUAAAUAAAUUUCUUUUGUUACCAAACUUCCGAAGUACAAAGACCUUCGACCAAACUUCCAUGAAAAAUUCCACCGAGUCCGUAAUAAAGCUUACUUCAUUAUCAAACCUUUAUAAACUGAAGAUUUUACUUUGAAAUUUUACAAAAUUUUUCCGAAGGUCCUUGUUAAUCAACGAAACUCUAAAUCAAAUUUUUAACAUUCAACUUUAACUCUUCAAAUAUUUCCGGUGAUGCACACCACAUACAGACUUGAACUGACCAAUUCAUUGGCAAACCACACACACAAUAGUGUCAUCGGAAGUAGAGUAUGAUAUAACGUCUCAAAACAAAUUUUCAAUAUAUAGAAUAAUCACAGAUGGUCGGGUUUGAAAGAAUCUAGGAGAAACCUCUGUACCUAUGUUCGAAUCUUCCAACGGCGUGAGGUUCAAGUACCAUGGGAUAGUUAGCAAACAUCGAGAAGUAUAAGCACUCAAAGCAGGCCUGUACCUGAGGGGAGGCUUGAGAGGUCGCCGCCUCAAGCACAAUAAAGUCGAGGGCAAAAAAAAAAAAAUUUGUAUAUGUGUACAUAUAUAUAAUUUUUAUAAAAAUUUUAAAUUUUGUCUUCUUUCUCAGUUUCUCGUGUUCAUUAUAUUUUACCAAUAUUAGAAUACUUCUUGAAUUUAUAUUCAAGUUUGCACAUUUACUGUGUUAAUUAUACACAUCUUGUAAUCAGCGAAAUUUCUUUUUAUAACGGUCAUUAUUUUUUCUUUUUUCGUAUAACCGUUAAAGGACAUCAUUUUUAAAAUUCGCCUCAGGUCUUUAAAUCUCAGAUCUGACCCUGACUCAGCACAAAGCCUCUCAUUCUCAAAGUAUGACGUACGCAAAUACGCAUUAAUCACUUGUGUUAGGCAUAUAAAAACACUGUAGCCACGACAAAUCGCUGUAGCUUGCAGAAAUAAUUGUAUAUGAAUAUUGCUUGGGAAACUCGAUUGUCCAGUCGAGAAUUGUUAACCUACUACAUAGUUGUUGAUCUAGCAGUUGAUGAUGAAUACACCUGAUCACUAAAUUGAAUGCCAUAAUCUCGCCAUGCUUGCAAGUUGCAACCUCCAUGACCGGUCAGUCGGCCUGCCACUGUUUCUACAAUGCAAAUUAGAAACAAGGAUUUAGACACUGCCAUAGUCCAAGCACCCGUUAUUAUUGGCUCCAAGAAGCAUCAGUUAUUAUCAUCCAGCCAGGCUUGCGAGAUUAGUGAGAAAAAAAUUCCUCUAGAGAGAGAGGUGUUACCACUUUAGUUAGUCUAGAGUGAGUGUUUCUUGUAAUCUCAUUAUUUAGUAUAAUAGAAGAAAGUACUACGGUUGUCCCGAGGAGAUAGGCACAUUUGCCGAGUCUCAUUAAACAUUGUGUCUUUUUUUGUUGCUAUUUUUGUAAACAAAGAAGCGGUGAAAAAAUUAGAUCCUGGAAUAAAUAAUUAUCCGUCGACCUUAUAAUAGGCGGCCACUUUUUUCUUAAUGGUUGCUUGAUUAUGAGAAGACACAAAAAUAAAUGAUUAUGGGCAUUAUUCUAUAAGAUUAGUGCUUGUUGGUGUCUCCCGCAAAAUAUGAAAAUUUGUUCAGAAGCCUCAAGUACCUGAUUUGAGGAAUCUUCAUCAAGACGUGAGUGAAUUUGUCUUAAAGCCUGGUUCUGGAUCAGAAAGUAAAGGAGAUGAAUUUGAAGAAGCAGCAACGGUAACUUUGGCUAGUGAUCUGGGUAGGGCUACUCGAGCUUCAUCAUAAAGUGCUAUCAAGCUCCAAGAGAUAGGACCCGGCCACGAUGACUCUUUGCAUGAUUAAGGUGGAGAAAUGAGAAUGGAUUGAUUCCCAUGAGUACAUGUCUGAUUUCUUGAGACACAUGCAUAUAUAAUUUCAACAAGUUAACUAAUAACGGAUUAAGAAAAAAAAAAGUUCUUAAUUGCACGCGUACGUAAUUGGGAUAGCAGUAAUAGCACAUAACUGAAUAACCCAAGCCAAGAGUUAUUCAAUGAAAUGAUAAACUUAAGAGACUAGUGGAAACCAACCAAGUCCAUACGGCGAAUCGUUAUUUCCAUCAAUGUAAUUGUCUGCUGAAAAAUAGUCGGUUUUUCCAUCAGCUAAGUUAUAGAUGCCAAUCACUAAAUGACCAGUCGUGUUUGUUGCAUAAUAUAUGCAGUUUCCACCUCCGACUCCAUCAAACGCCUUGUCCUUCAAUACCGCUGACACUGAACUGGUUAGCUUGGACAAUGGAAUCGAGAUAUGUCUGUUCAAGCGUAAGAAACUAUAAUAUGGAUUAACGAACAUUGUCUGGUUUUCAAGAGUAGUCUCUGUCAAUGCAGGUUCGGGGCCAAGGUCUAACUUGAACACCCAAAAUGGUGCAUCUGGAUUCUGUAGACGAAGUUGGGAGUGUUUAUCUGUACCAUUAUGCCGAUUCCAUACAAGCAAAAUUUCACCUUCAGAAGCUAUCAUGAAGUAAGGAUUAGCCUCAAUUCCAUACAGAUUCAUGUGUCCUGCAAUUAAACUUCCAAUUUCAAAUUGCUUGCCUACGUAGAUCUGACUUUUGGCUUUUGAAAAAACCUCUAGGGGAUCAAAAACAACUACAUAUCGAACACCAUAUCCCCCUUUAGCGAAUGCGUACAACUUCCCAUCCUUAUGGAAUUGAAGCUCAUCAAAACGAAUUUCAUAUUUGGGGCCUGAUUGGUAAGUCCAUGAUUUGUCACCUGGCCUGCAAAACGCCAACCUGUAUGUGAGUGGUGUUAGUAUUGUAGCUACAAUGCAGUCAGAAGAUUUCGGGUUUGAGGAGGCUGCAGAUAUCAUGGAUGAUUCAUUGGAGGGUGGCAGCAUAAUCCGAGCACCUGUAAUCGGGUUCGACAAGUAGUUGAUGCUCCAUCCAUAAGGAGUGUAGCUAGUCGACUUUUGCAUUUUAUAAUCUCUCAUGAUCAAAUAUCCAUCAAUACACCCUAGGAAGGAUGUAUAAUACGAAGGAUCCGCAGUUGCUUUUGGAAACGUAAAAUUAUAGACACUGUCUUCACUUGGACUAUAGAGACUACAGAGUACAGUUGACGAGUCCACAGACCGAACCCAUUUCAAGAUCCAUGGAAAAAGGGUGGCACGUUGACACCAUUUUGACGACGCUCUUCUCCAUGAUGUACACACAGCAGAGAACUUUUGUGAAUCAAUAAGUGAUAACCGCUUCAGCAACAUCUCGAUCAAGUCAUCCGGAAGAUGUUCAGACCACCUAUUCGAGACAGAGACUACUCCAUGGCGGGCACUUUCACCAUCUCCUAAUUCCAAUUGACGGCAAAGUUUAUUUUUCAAUGUGUCAUCUUCAAAACUUGUUGCAUUAAUUCUACCAUCAACUCUACUGCAACUGAUACCCAUUGUCGAUCUUCUGAAGUUAUAUUCUUGAUUGAUUGGGCCUGGAAAAAAAAGAAGAAGAUCAACUAGUUAAUCAAGUAUACCUGCACAAGCUGUUCACAGGAUCGAAUAGGGAUAAAAAGAUAAAUUAAAUUAGUGCAACAAGGCUUGCAAGUUGCAAACGCCUCAUAAUCUACCAUAAUCAUACCCAACAUAAGUUUAACAACUAACCAAACUAGCUUCAAAUCGAGCAAGUAGCAUGUAACAAUCAUGUAAUCAAAGAUGGAGAGUACUGAUGUUAAGUACUACUUACAUUCGACUUAUCUUAUAGAAUUGCCUACACCAACAAAACCAGAACAAUUAGUUCUUAUUAGGGUUUGGAGUUUUAGCACUUCUCUAUCUCUAUAAAUAAUGAAGGAGUAUUCCUUAUAUAUAUAUAUGCUACUAGGGUUUCGGCUGUCCUUCGCCACGAUGGGAUUAUAUACAGGAUUUACUUCUUCUUUUUUUCUUUUUUCUUUUUUUUCUUUUUUUUAUAUACAGGAUUUACUUCUUAACUGAGUUGUUCUAUCUUACACAAAGUUGUGUCUUCUUGUACAAUAUGGCUAAAGCGAUGCUGUGACCAAAGGUCCUAAACCAUGAAAUAGACUUACAACUUAUGACAUUAGAUGAAUAUCCAAAUUUACAUUUGGGGUCAAACAAGGAGAGCGCUUUCAAGGCCAUAUAUAUCUAGCCAAGUCCAAGGAUAAAGCUAGCAUGGGUGCUGCGAUAUAUCAUAUAUGUGCAGCAUGCGGUGGCGGAAAUUUGGGAGGCAAGCACCGAGCCAGUUGCAUGUUGAUGGCGACACCCUUGGGAGAGCCCUAGUUUCGGGUAGUUUCUAGGUCAUUGAAUAAACUAGGGUUAGAACAUGGUUCACACUCGGUUUUUCUUGUGUUGCUUUGGUAUCUAGAGUUUGUUACAUGUUAGGUUGCCCAAUGCUCUUUUUCAUUUGGUUAUAUAGGCUCUCUAAUGAUAGCUCAAACUUAUUUUCUAAAAAAAAAACAAAAUGAUAGCUCAAACUUGUCAUGUAUAAACCUUUGUGAUAUUUAGUAUAUUACAACUUCUAUCUUUAAUGGAUUGACAACCACAUCACUUGAAAAAGAAAUGCAUGUUAAGCAUUCUUAUAUGGCCAAAUUUCAAAGAGUUCAAAAUAAUACUGCUCAGAACUGUAGCUUUUAUGAUGUAGAACAAUAGGAGAAGCAAGUUAGUGUUGAUUUCUGGCUACAACAAGCUCAUUAGUACUCUUACAGUAAUUAAACUAGAUCAAUUCUAUACGAUAGGCUCCACACAGCUGAGAUCCGCCACUUCAGCUCUACUUCACUACUGCUAGCAUUCUUAGGCCUAAAUCAAACCCCAGUUAACACUAAAUUCACUCAUCAAUGACAGCAACAAUAUUCUUGUUGCAAACCUCUCCCACAUACUUAGAGCAGUAACAUUGCACCCCAGCAAUGCAUAGGGCACUAACAUCCCCUCCUAUGUCCUUGGUGAUCUGCAUAUAUACCAAGUAUGACAUGUGUUAAUCCAUAGGGCUAGAAAGUAGAAACAAGACGGUCACCAUGAGCAGCAUUUCAAUAAUAUAUACAAGUUUUUUCUCGUACCUCCUCAUUUGCUGUGGAUAUAGCAUGCUCAUCUACAAUCAUUAUACCAUCAAGAAACUCAACGCAAAUGGAGAAGCAUUCUUCACCAAUGGCUUCUACUAGUACUUCUCCAUUUUGUUUCACAAAUAAGACUCUCUUGUCUUUAUAGAAUGACCAUGCCAUUACACUUCUAUUGCUCUCCUCCACACCGAAAACUUUUACCUGCCACAUGAUAUCAGCUUGGUCUGAGGCAUAAAACGUAGAAAUUCAAGUUCAACACUAAGAAAUAACCAUAAGGUAACAAACCUUUGGGAAAACUCUCUUUAUGUACGCAGCAAUUCCAGCAAUAUGGUUGCCAUCACCAAUGGGGACGAAAAUUGCAUGGAGAUUAUCAAUUUUUCCACCUCUAACCAUUUGAGUGAUUAUCUCCACCCCAAUGGUUCCAUAGCCAGUGAUGAUGUCGGUGUGGUCACAUGAAGGUACGUAGGUUGAAUUUUCAGUUGCAGCAAUAGAUUUGGCAUGGUCAUCGGAUUCUUGAAUGCAAGUCCCGCGAGAGACCAAAAUGGCUGCAUACUUUACUAUAUCUUCUAUUAAUUUCCUCCUAACAACCUUUGCAAACAAGAAUUGAACAAGGCUUAUACUCCAUUUCCAAUUCAGAAAAAACCAAAUAUCAUAUGGAUAUGAUCACCAAAUCUAAUUUAUUUUAUUUGCAUUAAGUAGGCAUACAUGCAUGUCUUCCAAGAGUCACUUAGCUAGAAAGUAGAUCAUUGGGGAUCACAACAAGUGAAAGUACCUGUUCUGGCUGUUCUGGCAGUUCUGGCAGUGGAGGAGGAAUAUAACUAUUUGGGGUUGCAACCGUGCAGGAUAAAUGUGCAUGUGAAUCCCCUCCUCUCCUUUUCAAUCAGUGCAUUUGCCAUGAAGUUAUAAGUCCCUCUCCAUUUGUAGGAUGAACCCUGCAUACAUCACAACAUUAGGAACCUAAAACAACUAUGAAUGAAAGCAACAUUAGGAACAGGAGAUAUACUAUAAGUAUAUUUGUACUCACAAGUUCUCUAUUGAGUAAUAUCUCUACUUCUUCUGGGCUUGAACUGCACGCACGAGAAAAUGCAGGGGCUGGUACUAGGUCCCGCCUUUGAACAAACUCACAUUCAUAGAUUCUUGACGAGAGUAUGGCACUUAGAAACUUUAGGGAAGUUUCUGCAUCUGUGUGUUCAAGGCAAUGCUUUUUCAAUAUUGGGUUAGCUUCAACAAGAAUACCAUUCCCAAAUACUAGCCCUGGAACUAUCAUUGUCUCGACCUCCAUCAAUGAUUUGGUCUUCUUAUCCUUCCAGAUGCAAACCGCACAAAGCCUAAAACACAACUGAAGCAUCAGUAUACAUGCACAUCAAACUAAACAAUAUAAAAGAAAAGAUCAAAAGGAACAUGUAACAGAGAGAGAGGGCGAGGGAGAGGGAAGUUCAUAAAAACCCACCUGUGUCCACAUAAGUAAGAUGUAGCACUACCAACAAUUGCAGUCCCUAAAGGAAGCCACACUAAGGCAAACCUCUUCCCAGCAGUGGCUGAGAAAUGGAAGUCUCCAUAUCCAAUCGUAUAUGCAGAAAUUACAGAAAAAUAGGUUGCAUUAACCAGAUGGGUUGCAUUGACUCCAUUGUGAUUCGUUGCAUUUGCUCCAUUGUGAUUCGUUGCAUUAACUCCAUUGUGAUUCAUCUUCGUUGUGUCGUCCCAGAUCCAUAUCCCUAAAAAUCCAGUGCCAACGACAAACACUAUCCAACCUAUUGCGAAGAAGAAUUUCAACUUCUGUUUUGUCUUGUCACUAGUGGUCUUGAUAGACUUGAAAAACCACUUCUCCAACUUAUCCCCUACCGCAUUAACCAAAUCUCCAAGUGGAUUACCAAAGACGGCACUCAUUACAGUACCCAGUAAAACAAAAGCAACCACUAAAUACUUGGCUACAUUUGUAUUAGGAGUCACAUUGCCAUACCCAAUGGUUGUCACGGUGACAAUGACAAACAAUAAGGAGUCGAGGAAACUCGGAGGGGGCUCAAAGGAAAAUGUGAUCAGAUACCCAAAAAUUAGGUAGGCAAGAUAUAGGCUUGUACAGAGGGCAAUACAAUAGAACCUGCAUGUAAACAGUUUCCUGACAUAUAUAGAAUGAAAACAAAAUAUGAGAUAAAAGUAUAGUGUGAGUUCAUGAAUUUUGCACAAUAUUGAGCUAUAUCUAUAGUGAUGCAGGGGAGACCUUUAGAACAAUGUUCUCUUACUGGAUUCUAGGAAAUUCAAUUUAGCCGAGAAAUAUGGUACUUUAGAGCCAUUAAGGAUUUUAUGAAACCAACCAUGCACAGAGAAUCAAGUAAGUAGGAAGAAUUAUAGUAUUCUAGCAUUGAGCUACAGGGUCCUAGGUAUCCCACACAGUGGCCUUAGAAACAUAACCUUAUCAGGCAAUUCAUGCAAAUCAAAAACCAUUUCACCAAGCAACUUGAAAAUAGAAAAAUCUCUGAACAAAAAGACUUAUGUUUAUGAGGCCGGUUUCACAUGCUGAAUGCAAUCAAUGCAAAAUCGAAACAACAAAACUGCAAUGUGCAGUAACUUCUAGACCUCAAUAAAUUGUAAUGAGUUAAGGAUCACUGUGCAGAGAUUAUGUAGAGCUGUGUAGAAUAGGUGUUUGCUUAAUAAAAUGAAACUGCAGUCUGAUAGCUUACAUGGUUGUCAAAGGGAACAUAUAACAGCAAAAGCCUGCGACAAAGUUCAACAGCUGUGGAAAAUUGACCACCAAGUACACCUGCAAGUUAUAUAUAGGAAUAAGAACAUGGCUAAUGAUAAAGUUUGAUAUAUGCAUGCAGUAUGCACUAUUUUACGCUAUGUUGAUUAUGAUGCAGGACAAGUAGGGGACGACAUUUAUUGAGAACUAAUUCUCGAUUGUAUAUCAAGUUCCAAGUCAUUAGGAAGAAUGAAAAAAAAGAGAGAACAAACAUACAUCAGAAAACUUUGAGGAAAUCAACUUAACACGUGAAGUACCAUAGCGCAUUGAAGUUAUUGAUGCAAAAGUAGAGGAAAUCAACCCGAAAGAGGGUCUUGGAAAAGCAGAUUCCAACAGCUUUAGAUGAAGGUGAAACAGACUCGAAGGAAGUUGAAAUAGACAUAAAGGAGCGAGCAGGAGGAGACAAAAGGGUGUAGAACCAUCUUAAUUGAUGAAAAGGUCCUGGACCUUAACAACAUCCGUGUACAAGAGCAAGAGAAUUUUAACUCUAAUGAGAACUUGUACAGUCAGAUUCCAACAACAGUAGGCACUUGAACAAGGAGCACAUAAAAUGCACUUAAACUGCUGCUGAUAACAAUGGACAUCUUAAGAGAUUCAAGAUAGCAAACAUCUUAGGAUGAGACUGCAAGCAGAGGAAAAAACCCGAAGAAGCAGAACCAAAAAUCGAUCACAUCUAUAGCAGAACAACGUACUGGUGGCUAUAAUGGACACCAGUUGAGGAAGCAGAACCAGAUAUCGACAAUCGCGAAAUUGAAAUGAUAGAAUGCUAUAAACAGUAUCAUGAAUACAUAAUAUACAGAGUUUGAUACCUCCUGCUGUUACAGAUAACCUAGAUAUGCACAAUCAUCAACUCUUACUAUGCAACCGCACCCAAUCUCAUACAUAUUGUCUAUAUUUUGCCUAAUUUCACUGUUACAGGUACCAAAGCUCGAUCACAAGUCGAUAUUUCAGUGAUAGUGUAAAGAAAUUGAUCAAGGUCAACACUAGAAUCAUAAUCAAUUGACUAAAGAAAUUGCGGACUGAAGAUCCGAAGCUUACCGUGAUAGUGUUGUGAUCGGGGACUCAGGUGAAGGUAAGGCGAUUCCGAUCAGCUUGAAGCUUUCUCCGAUUGUUCAUCUAGGUUAGCGAAGAAAGAGAAACAGAUCUGGAUCAGUAUCGCAAAAAUUGAAAUUGAAUUCGUCCAUACAAAUCAGAACUUACAGCGGCUACUUACCGGAUUCAUCCUCCAUUGUUGAUCGAGCUUCGAUUUCUCCGCCUCGCUCUUCGUCGUCUAAGUCCUUCUACUCUUUCUCUCUUCGCUUCUCAGUCUUCUCUCUCUUCGCGUCGCUUCGCUUCUCUUCUCUUUUCUUCUCUUUCCGAUAUAUGUGGAUUUCGAAAAUGAGAAAAUAGCGGAAAACGACGCCGGCUCCUAGUCUUGGGAGGGAAAAUCAAUAGCGGGCCGGUGGAUCACCUCUUUUCUUUCUUGCAAUUUAGGCGAAAGCCCACUUCUUUUUAUCAUCCACCUUUCCACUUUCAACCAAAAGAUAAAUAGUUUACUCAUUAACACUAGGUCAGCUUGACCUCUGUUUUUUUUGUUUUGGUAUUUUGUUCGGGGGCAUAAAACAACCCCAAAGUAAAUACACCUCAAAAUAGUGAGAAGACGGUGCGAGAGAGAGAGACACUGAAAAUGUCUUGAAUAGAAAAAGACUUUGUGUAGUACCAAGCUUUAUCAUUUAGCCCUUCGGCCCUGACCCUCAUCAAUGACGAUGGUGACGAGACUAAUAAAAUAGUACCGGUGCGCCGCCAUGAAGUGAUCGGACGAAGAUAGGUUUGGUCGUCAGCGCGGGUCUUCAGUCUCGAGCUCACUAAGCUUCUUGAGCGUUCUGAUACGUACGAUAUACAUUACCUUUUAUAUACUUGAACAUAACAGUUGAGAUUAAAUCGUGGUUGAAACCAACGCUUAUGUCGCAUCUCUUUUUGUUAAAUAAAUUUCCUUAUUAGCAAACUUCCUAAAUACCAAAGAAAUGCCUUCGACUUUCGAAAAGCUUUCAUGAAAAUUACCACCGACUCUAUCAUAAUUCAUAAACUCAUAAAACAUAUACUUCAUUAUCAGACCAUAAACUAAAGAUUUCACAUCUAAUUUUUCUGAAGGUGCUUAACAAUCAUCGAAACCCCAAAUCAAAUCUCUAACCAUUCAACUUUUGUUCUUCAAAUAUUUCCGAUGCAUACAUAACUAAUUGACUUGAAUAGACCAAUAAUUCAUAGGCAAACUGUGAGACCCCGUAAAGUUAUGACUUUAUGAAAUUGAAGUCUUGAUAAUUCCUAGUAAACGAUUUCUAUAGUAGACGGACAUUGCUCGAUUUAGUUGAAUUCGAGAGGUUUCAUUUUUGAAUUGGGCCUAUAGUGUAGGCUUGGAAUAACCCGAUUGGGUCACAUGUUUGGGCUUAAGGAGGGCAACAUUGUAAUUUUAUAUAUAUGAGCAACAAAUUAAUAAGCUUUGAUCAGAAUGACCAGAAGCUUCUCCCGUUUUCUCUCCCUCUCUUACGAACACUCUUUCUUUCUGUCUGUCUCUCUGUUCAUGUUCAAGAAGACAAGGCUGCUAAAUAUUCAUGGUGGGAUGUUAAUCUUCAGUUCAAGGAUACAACAGAGAUGGAGUUUGGGUCGUUUAGCUAUGUACCGUCGACACCGAUUUGAGUUGUAGAAAGCCACAGGCAUGAACGUUAUUCUUCUUCUCUUAGCAUAUUGAGGUAAAGUCCUAAGAACCCAUAGAUUUGGCAUUUCUGAUUUUGAUAGAUUGGGUUCUAAUUAUUCUGUUAAUUGGAAUGCCAGUGACACGGAAUUUCGAGUGGAAUUUGAGUUCCAAGGAAAGAAGCAUGAAGUCCAUGGAGAGUUACUGAAUUUGAAAAGGGAGAAGUGAUCGAUGAAUACAAUCAAUACUCCUGAUUAGUGAAUCCCAUAAUCUCGGCAUGCUUGCAACCUCCAUGCCCGGCCAGUCGGCCUGCCACUGUUUCUACAAUGCAAAUUAGAAACAUGGAUUUAGACACUGCCAUAGUCCAAGCACCCGUUAUUGGCUUCAAGAAGCAUCAGUUAUGAUCAUCCAGCCAGGCAGCCAUCACCAGGUCCAGAGCAACAGUACCUUGAUAUUCAUUGUCUUUAAUCAGAUAUACCUUUCAAGAAUUUGGCAUGGAUUCAGACAAAAAGAAUUUGGCAUGGAUCGAAACAACAUGCACCCAAAAAAAAAAAAAAAAAAACUGUAAAUGAGGGGGCAGAUCUUUGUGGAUGUAGAUAAUGCAUGAAGAAGGUUUACGUUAGUUUACGACUGCUUUUGAAGACAUUGAAAGGAACACGCCAACGAAUACGCCCUCAGAAAUUUUACCUCCACACAACUGCAAACAGCAUCCAAUCAGAACUGCAGCAUUGAGAAUAAAAAAAACAUUGUAUAAUCCAGUCUACAUUAGCGAAAGCUAUGGCUUCACAAUCAAUGUCGAUUAUAGUUAUCUUAAGCACACCCGUCCAAUAAACGAACAUAGAAACUAAAUACCAAAGAGUGCUAAAGAUAUAACCAGAAAUACUGAAUGUCAAGAUGCAAGAGCAGAAUAGAGGCAUAUACCAGUCAAUUUCAUGUGCUAUCAUUCUACGACUAUCAGCAACUUCAGUAAAUUACAAAUGAACGAUAGGAUACAGCAUAGAAAGACUCAGAAGGUAGACAUGCAAUCAGAAUAGAGACCUAAAGUAGUCCAAUUUAAUGUGGAAGUUCCACUACUGCCAGUAACUUCAAUUAAGGCCUCUAUGUGAUUAAGGGUGUCUUGGGAAAGUGUAAGUCUAGCACAAAUACUGCACCUCUCACCCCUCCAACACAGAAGAAUAGCUACUGGUACUCCAUCCUAUUAGUUUUAAGGACUCAGAUGCUACAUCCUAGUACGAUAUUUUGAAAUUGUCACUCAGUGUAAACCCAAACACAGGCAAAGUAGCUGGAGGAAUAAAGCACCAAGAAGAAAUAAUCUACAACACUAUUAUAAAAGGACAUUAACAAAGAGCCAAACUAAACUAAAGUGGAAAAACAUAAACAGUAUAAUUUUGCAUAGGGUGGUGCAAUUAACACACCCUUUUUUGCUAUUAACACACCCCUUAUAUAAAGGGCAUCUUAUCAUUCUCUACUUAUUCAUUGCCAUGUUACUAGUACCUGCUAGAAUAUGGCAUGGGAUACUGGUUAUAAAGGGCAUCUUAUCAUUCUCUACUUAUUCAUUUCCAUGAUACCAUCCCAUGCCAUAAUCUAGCAGGUACUUUUAUAAUUUUUGUGGCAACAUCUAUUCCUGUAAUUUUGCAAUGCCUAAAACACUAGGUGUAGGAAGGUUGCACAUUGAAAUAAUCAUAAGUAAGCAAAAACUUCGGUAGAGAGAGAGAGAGAGAGAGAGAGAGAGAGAGAGAGAGGAUCUAACUUUGUUGUGGAAAACUCUAAGCCCAAAGCAAAAAGAAGAAAGAUCACACCAAACUGAGCUACAGUUUCAACCUGCAUCCAUAUACCACAGUGAAAAUAUGAAUAAGACACAUAAAGAUAACCUAAAUACGAGGGAUCAGUUAACGAUCUAAAUUUUAGAAAGGAGAACAAAUUCUAUCUCUGCGUACAGAAUAGUCCUGGUUGUGUUUCUUACAUGAGGCAUGCUCAAUAUAGCUACCAAGAACAUUUUAUUGCAUACUCCAAGACAACAGACUUAAGAGUAUCUGAGCGACUGAAAAAGUGCUAGAAUCAUCUGAAUGAGUACUAGAAAUGUUUCUUUCUUUCUUUCAAUAAUGUAUAUGAAAAAUGACUGUUCAUGCAUCGUUCUUUCCAAAAUUAUCAGUCACUUCUACACAUGUGACGAGAGCAAAUGACCAAGACCUUUAUGCUUACAAUAUCAUAACAUAUAAACCAUUGCAUAAGAUAAUAAAGCAAAGUGAACAUACUUGAACCAUUUCACUAACAAAGUGAACCCUCCAGGUCCAAUAACAGAUUUGGCUAGCAAAUACCCUGAUAUGACCUGCAAAGUUAUAAAUCAAAGUAACACAAUAAGAAACAUUAAGUAUAGUCAAAUUUACAAGAUGCUCUAUGAUAAGUUCAUAAAUGUAUGACUGUUGAUGUGUAUGUACAGACCAGUUGUCCAGCACAAGCAAAAGCAAUAUCACCACAGGUUGCAGAGACAUUAACGACGACCAGAUCUGAUAUCAGUCUACAAUCCAACAAGCAGAAGUGAUCAGAUCACCAUUUCUAAUGAAUGACCAAAUUCGGGCAACUAUAUUGGUUUCAAGACAUAAUCUGAUCAUGGUACACAUUUCCAAAUUCAUUUAGCACUCCGCGAAAAGAUGAGGAAAUGAGAAAAACAGAAACUGAAAGGGAUAGAUACAGAAUUUCUAGUUAACUACACAAGUUACAAAACAGAAGAGACACAAAUCAGACUUCUUGCUCACUUAUAUCUCUCAACUUAACUUUUCCACGUUCAGCCUUUCCAUUUUUUAGAUAAGCAAAAUCAACGUGGAAAAGUUGAAUUUACAAUUCACACACUUAUUGCUCACUGAAUAAGUUGAGGGAUGAAGAGGUAGUCGAAUUUGGUUCUUUACCUUCGAGCAAUCAGUGAGCAGAUUGGCAUAAGAAUUUCUAGUGUCCAUUCUGCUCAAUAGAUUGGGAAUGAGGGGCGUGCGAUAAGGCGGCGCCGUCGGUUUCGGAGAAGGCGUUGAUGAAGGGGAAAGAGGAGUCGACGGCGAAGAGGUACCCCCUACAUCGUCCAUGGCUGUGGAUAUGGUACCCCUACAUACUUGCCUGCAACAAUUUCUAAUCGAAUUGAAUCCUAUUAUAAACCAUGAUUUACAAUCCCGUGACAAGUCAAUUGUAAAGCAUUAGAAAUUUGUGAAACUAAACAUAAACCACACAGACAAAACUUGAUUAAAAUUCAAAGAUACUAAUAUUCCAUGGAUCCGAAACAGAGUACAUACACAUAAACCUCCUCAUCACCCGAACAAAUCCCCAACCACAAAAUACGAGUAAAUCAUGACAUUACGGACGGUCCUGGAUAAACACUGUACUGUAAACAACAUCCAAACAAAUACAAAAACACUCCCGGAAUUGGUUUUGAAAGAGAGGUCUCCAAAUCCCACAGACAACAAUAAUGACUCAACGAAGGCCAGACCCUCCAGAAAAUGCACAACAAUUGCACCAACAACUACACAAGCCAUCAGCAUCAUGACUGCCGUGCACAUUCGGACUCCUGCCUCCAAAUUCUCAUCCAAACUUGGAUUAUGAAGAUGGGUCUUUUUGGAAUAGCGUCCGUGAUAGAUAACCAAAACAACUGUCAAAUAUACGCCGAUCCACAUCCUCAAUAAUCGCCGGCGAUGCGGCUGCACUUUGUUUUGGUCGUCAGGUUGCGCGGCUGCGUGUUGUCAGAGCUUUUCUCUCUCUAUUUGUACUAGGUUUUUCUGUUUCUUUUUCUUUUCGAGUUGGAAAUUGACUGUACUUGUUUAAAGUCCAAACUACUUGCGGCAGAUAUGUUCGGCUUCUUAUCCUUGUUUUUUACUGUUUUAUUUUUACUAGCUUUCUUUGCACACGCAGGGCCGCGUGCGUUUGGUUUUGUUAUCGUUCAUUAUCGUGUGUCAUGAUUGAAAUCAUGACUGCGCCAUGCUCCUUUCUUUCAGGAAUUGGAUAAUUCGUUUGGAAAUUUGCACUCAUUAAACAAUAUUUCUACUCUCUCCCUUCUCUUAAAAGGACUGCCCUGGUGAAAAUGCUAAAAUCAGAUUCAAAAGGCUAAAAUCUAAACUUCACGUCAAACAAUACAAAAGAAUCACAAUUUCAUAUUAGGCUCUUCCUCACAAAAUAAGAAAAGAAAAUAAUUUGCCUAACCACAAUAUGAGUCCAGGCCAUGAAAAGCCCAAAUGUAAGCUUAAUAUGAAAUUGUAUCUAGCAAACUCAAGACCUAAAAAGAACUUGAGGGUAUUGAGAUGAACACAUCUUCAAGUCAUUCUCAUCUCUGUUAAUCUGCAAUGAAAACAAAAUAGUGAGAAACUCUUUAAAUCUCAUUCCUUUCAAAGUGGUAUCUACCACAACAUAAGGAGAUAAAUGGUCUAUUUUAUUUGAAACACAACUUGGAACUCGGCAUCAAUGGUUCUGUACUUAAAUGCAGUAACAAUGGCAUAAUUAGCUCCAUGAUCCCCCACCCCAAAAUCCAAUUUCCUAAAGCACCUCCCUCACAAAAUUCCAAUGAAGUCUAUUAGAGCAUCUCCAGCAGCUUCCCCAAAAUUUCUCUAAAAUAGGGAAGCAAAAGCUAAAAUCUCUAAAAAAAUUAUGCUUAAAAUCCAACAGCUUCUCCAUUUUAGAGAUUUCAGCAUUUAAUACAACAAAAAAAUAUACUAUAUCAUUAUUGAUUAUAACAAAAAACAUUAUAUAUUUCAUUGUAACAAUAAAAUACUCAAUCAAAUAUUCUAUUGUUGUCUUGAAUUCGUUAGAGCAUGUGAAGAAUUUAAUUUUGGGGAAUGAAGGCUUUGCUGCAAAUUUGGGGAAUGAAGGCUUCUCUUUCUUCUAUAUCCCCAUUUUGGGGAAUGAGAUGGGGAAACUGUUGGACCUAAAAACAGCUCUAUAUUCCCCAAAAUUGAGAAGCUGUUAGAGAUGCUCUUAUAAGCUUUAGCAAGAUCAACUUCCUAAGCAAAGAAAAUAAAAAUUGCAACAAAAAAGUAAAUGAUAAAAGGAUUCUCAGCAGUGUACUAAGUACCCAAAAAUUGCAACCUGUAAGUUUGAAACUUGAAUAAACUCUUAAUCAACAGUCACAUAACAAUGAUAAUACACAACAAAAAUCACUAAACCACAACCCCUAAAUUCGCUUGCAUAAGCAUACCUUUUUCUGUGUUUAUGCUUUGAAGAACGACCACCAAUUUGCACCAAUUUGCUUGUUUACAGUGUCAUGAUAUGGUAGCAUAAAGAAACUGCUAUUGAACGUAAAUCCGCUCAGCGAACAAUACCUAACAAUGAUAAUCCAAUUCCAAUGAGUAACAUGAAAAACCAAAAAUAAUAGAAAUAGGAUUCCUAAAUCUAGGAUUCCUAAAUCAAUGCAAAACAAAUCUGAAAAUUUCCUAAACCAGCAAUUUCCUUUCCACCAAGAUACACCUUUGCAAUGACCUAUGUUGAAGGUAAAAAAACAAAGAUGCAAAAGUUACAGAUCAAAUAGUUUCAGCGUAAACACAGACAUAUGAACCAAGCAAUUGGGAUCCUAUAGCAGCAAAUACCGACCCCAAUCGGUUAUUUGCAGGGCAACGUGAAUACCUGAUUUCUGAUAUGCUCCUCUUUGCCCUCAUGUGGUUGAAGUUGAACUGCAAAUCAAGAGGUCAGAGUACUGAUUUGAUAUGCUCCUCUUUUUGGGGUUGAAGUUGAACUACAAAUCGAGAGAGGGGUGAGCAUUGAUAUAGAGCCAUAUGCCCAUAUGUAAGCCGAACCGCUCCCACAUUGUUCCGGCUAAAAACAAAAACACAACUGUUCAUACACAAAAAGUUAGUAUGGACACGUUGAGAUUGUAAGCCAAUCACUUGAGCAAUGAAAAGAAUUAAUAGCUCCAUUUACCAAAACAUAGAAACAUUCAUUGUCACUAUUGUUCAAUCAAACAAUCAAUAAAGUUCAUUGACUUAGAAAGAGGCAUAAAUUGAUGACAAUAGGAAGCCUGUUAUAUAUCUACUACCACAGAUUAGAAAGAAAAGAACGACAAAAGUAAUACAGCAUUACAGAAAAGUAUAUCAUUUACAUCUAAGACAGUUGAAAAGCUAAUUCCUAAACAGGAGCGUAUAUAGAACAGAUGAAAAAUGAACAACAAAAAGAAUCAAGGAUUUACCACUAGUGAGCCUUUGGUACUUUGACUGAUAUCGAUGAAAAACAAAACAAAAACAAAACUAUCAAAACACUUGCUUCCCACCCAAAUUGCAUACACAUUGAUUCUUUGAAGACAAAAAAAAAACAGAGGAGACCCAAACUCAUCUAAUUGAACACAAAACCUCACCCAAAUUGUUUUGACGCUCCCUUUCUGGGUUCACUUUUGUUUUGCUUCUCCCUUUCUGGGUUCACUUUCUGCUUCGUGCAUUUAACUUUUUUCGCCUUUAACAUUAGUUAGCUAUUUACUUAUUAACGCAUGCAGGACUGUCUCAACUAUUUUUCUUUGUAACAUUCAUAGACAAUCAAACAGUUUUCAGCAUAAUACAAAUGAAUUGAACUCUCAAACUCCUAAACUCUUAAAAACAAAAACAAAAAAGAAGUCCUUUGCUUCUCAGAUUUCACGCACUACCAAAAUCAUGUCCUUCAUAUCACUUGAAUUUUCAAUCAGCCUCCAUAUGCUAUAGUUGUAGCAACAUGCAUGCUACAGCUUGCCAUUUAUGUGAAAUGACUUUCUAUGUAACAGUUAACACUUAACAUAAUCAUUUAUUAUUUUAUUUACUGUAAAAAAAACACUAUGAACUUACAAUAUCGGUAACCAAGCAUGAAAUGACAUACUUAAUAAGGAAAGAAAUUACACACAGCUCUAAUCACUACAUUAAGGGGUCAGUUUGCAUACGUUUCAGAUUGCAUCACAAUGGAAAACCAAUUUUAAUAGCAUGAGCAGCAUUAAGGACGACAAAAAAACAACAAAACAACAAAAGAAAAAGAAGUCAGGCAUACGUUGAUUGACCUGAACUUAGCCAUACACAAACCAGUUCUUAUUACAUCAGUUCUAGAGUACGAAACAGAAGAAAGAUAAGCCAAAGAAGCCAAAAAAGAAAGAAAAGAAAGGAAGCAGGGCACCAAGUUUAUAUCAGUUUAUGCUUCACUUGUGAAAAAAAAAAUUGUAAGUUACAUCCAAAUCUCUUUACAAUAAACACAUUACACGCAAAAAACUUGUAACAAAACUAAAAAGCUCAAAAUGAAUGAAUCUGAGAAGAAGAAAAAAAAAAAAAGGAUAAGAAACCAUUUUCUCAUAGGCCCUUAUCUUCUUGGCUCUUGCACUUAGUAGUAGCUCCCCUAAACUAAGCUUCAUAGUUAACUCAACCUGAACUUGAUUAAUGAGCAAUUAAAGCUUAUAAACUCUGCCAUAGCAGAAUUGAAAUCUUACAAAGAGAAGCUAAUUUGAAGGCUUGUUUACUUAAAAAAUUGACACAUAUGGAGCACAAAGGUUCAAAUUUUACUGAUGGGGUCUGCGAAAAGCAAUCAAAUUUUAGCAAAUGCAAACUAAAUCAGGGGAGCGAUUCUGAGAUCAAAAGAUAUAACCAAUUAACCAUCUCAGAAAGAAAUAGGUAAAACAAAUUGGUACUGCCUUUUAAACUUGCAGACCAUACCUGAACAGAGUACCUAACUUUAAAUAGUAACAACAAAUGAAUCCGUAUAGAGAUGGGUCUGAAAUUUAAAGAAAUGGAAAGCUAAGUUACCUGCAAUGAAAGAAAUUGGAACUUCUGAGAGUUUCAAACAAAGAAAAAGAAGAACCAAUUAAGAACAACAGGCAUACAAACAACAAUUUGAAAAUUUUCUUACCAGUCUUUCAUAUGAUUGAUAUCCCCGCAUUCGUAGUCCUAAUCAACAAUUAUUCUGGGUUCAUUUGCAAAUCGCCAACAACUGAAAUUAAACAUUGAAAAUCAAUAAUUUCCGUCGAUUUAUACAUUCCAAGCCAAACCCCAUAUUUUUGAUUCCACCCCAUGCAACUAGUAUCGCAUUCAUCCCCAAAUUUCAACAGUUUCCCUUACAAUCCCAAAUACAAUCAUCGGAACCCCACUAAAAACCCAUGACCCAAUUUGACAAAUCUGAUUACCACAAUCAAAAUCACUUACGUAAAACCGAUGGCGCGAAUCCAAAUUAUUAGUUCUGACUUUUUGGAUUUGAUUUUGCUAUGCUCUUCUUUGCUUCUUUUAUUUCCUUUUUCGCACGCAAUGCGGAUGGAAACAGGGGAUAAGAUGUAUCCCCACGUCCUUCUUGCAGUUAUCGUCAAUGGGAACUGUGGAGAAUACUGGAGAUCGUGUCUUGGCAGUUCGCAACUGCAACCUUCUUUUUCUUUUUCUUUUUCUUUUCCGAUUUCUCCCGCGGAAUCCUCUCUUAUUUCAAAAUGACUAUACUAUCCAUACACAAUAUGCAAAUAUAGGUGAAGAAUAAUAAACUUGUGGUUUUUUCGGAACAUAAAAAAUUUAACCAUUCUCACAUCUCUUCUGGCUUUAUUAAUAGAGAUUUAUUUAUUUAUUAAAAUAAAAAUACCUGAAAAGAAAAAUAUAUAGGGUAACAAAAAGGAAUGUGUUAAUAGCGUACAAAUUCUUAUUUUAUAUUUCAAUGAACAAAAUUGAAUUUUAAUUCGUUGUUGAAGUUCAAUUUACAAGAUAAAAAGAGUUGGGCAGCAAGUGAAUAUUAACACUGUUGUUUAGCACUGAAAAAAAAAAAAUACCGCGUUGCUCGCUUUCUUAAUGUUUGAGUGGAGGUCAACAAGGGUGUUUGAAAACUGCUCCAACAUGUUGGUCAUAAAUUUGUAGGAGUUAAGACUGGAUGAUGGACAUGAAACAUCCAUGUUAAGCGUUCGACCAACAUUAUCAUAUUGAAUAGUUUAAUAUUUAAAAUUUAAAAAUUAACAACAUUUACAAAACAUUUUAAGAUGGUGCUUUAAUGCUUGUUAUGUGAGACUGCAUGGGAUUAGAAAGUGUAACAAGAACAAGUUUGUGUUUAGCAAUAACAGAGUUUAGGACUAAUAAGCUUAAGUAGUCCCAAAAACACAGUCAACACCUUCUACCAUAGCAACCCUAAAUUCAUGGGUUUAUGGAAGACGUUGUUGUAGACACUGAAAACUCUCGUUGUUUUCUUCUAUGCAUGCAUGCCUCAUCAAUCACUCUCUUCAAUCUCUCAUUAUCUUUUUGUCAGUAAUAGGGGAUUCUGGUUCUUUAAUCAUUCAUUUCUCUCUAUAUCUUUGUCUCUCUCCGAUUCAUUCUAGAUCGGUCACCAACGGAUCCUGAUUUCCUGGACGUUAAAUCGUAAAUCUCUUUUUAAAAUGUUGUUCAUUGAUAUGGAUAUAAAGUUCCUCAAUGUAAUCAUUUUCUUUUGAAAUGUUGCCUAUUGGUUCUCUUUCUGAUUUUCUAUUGAAAUGCUGCAUAUUAUGCUCUUUAGUCCCCCACUAGAACCAAACAUAAGUUUAGUGUUUUAAGGUCGGGAGAGCAAUCCAUUAAAACACACAUGCUUUAAGGAACUAUUAGAGGCUUAGAGCAACUCCAUCUGAAUAUGCAUUUUAGACACCUCAGCCCAACGACUCUAAUUUGGCAUUGUCAACAACCUCCAACCAAAUAGGCAAUGUCAAAUUUGACAAGUGUAAUUGGCAUUGAGGGAAGGCAAUGUUAAAUUUGACAUUGAUGAAAGACAAUAUCAUAUUUUUUUCACUCUCUUUAUGCUUCUCCAAGUAGUACGCACACCAUAUUUACUCUUUUAAAUGAUUGUUUAAUGUACGGUAUAUAUACAAAUUUGGAGAUGAGCUUAGCCAAAUAACCAAAUGUUAUAUUUGUCUUGUCACAUGUUAAAUUUUGUAUUUGACAAUAAAUUUGAUAUCUCCAUUAGAGAUACUCUUAAAGACAAUAUGUAUAUGUUGAUCUUAAAAACAAAGGGACUCAACCUAUCGUUCUCUCCCUAGCCGGCCGCUAGGGUUUCGAGCCUGACCAAACUUUCUCCAUUGUUUUUCAAUGGAGACCAAAGCAGGCUUCACCCUGCUAAUCCUCUUCGUGUUUGCUAUUCUCUUGGAUGGCUAUGGUAGAGUUUUUCUCUAUUCGAAUCUGGUCUCUAGAGAUCUCUUUGGUGGAUCAGUGGUGAUUUUCGACUAUAGAGAUGGAGAUAGCUGCCACGGCGACGGCGACGACAUUAAGAGCUCGUUCGGGUAAAUGGUCUUUCCUCUCACUCUGAUUGUAUUGACGAUAGCGGUAUGAGAGUCUUUCCUUUCCAUUCUUUGGCUGUGAUGGGGAUCCUCCCUCAUCUCUUCCGUCGAAUCUAAGGUGGUGACCACGGGUUGGCUCGCUAGUUCUCAUCUAAUACAAGCUUUGACCUCUCUCCCUUCGCUUAUGGUGGUUGUGAUGGCAUUGAUAGUGGUGGUGAAAUAGUUGAGAUCAAUCGGAUCUUGAAUCAAUCUGGCCUGGACAAGGAAAACUCCGGUUUUGGUUAUGACGGCGACGCUCGGCUCUGAUGGUGAUGACAUCGGCAGAAAGGUAGUGGCGGCUAGGGCAACAUUAUUUGUUUCUCUUGGAAUUGGGCUCGAAUGGGCCUGGGAUGGAUCAACUAAGGUUUCCCUCGUUUGGGCCUUGGCUAAUAAAGUUGGGCUUGAGCCCCUAGUUUAAAUUUAGUUUGGUCCAGGUAGACUAGUGCAUUCGUAGAGUUUGAUAGUUUUAUGCGGAUACUAAUUUAUUUGUAAAAUCGUGCUUAAUUGUUACAAGGUAGGUGUACUUAGGAUUUCAUAGCUUAUAUGCUUUAGAUAGUAUAAAACUUGCAAUUCUGCAAGAUGAUGCUUUCUGACAACUCCACAGGGGUGUGUUGUCUUUGUAUUGCUUGCUCUGAUUUAAAUGAAAUGACCUAUUGAUCAAAAAAUACAAUAUGUAUACAGUAUGUCGUACUUUUCUUCUAAGUGUGUUUUCGAUGCGGGUAUUUUUAGUGUUUAGUAGUUUAAGAUAAUUUAAUAAAAAUUAUAAAAAACAAUGCCUCUUUUUUUUGAUUUACUAACAGUAAAUAUUUCCCAAAAAAGUGAAAUUCACCUCGAGAGCAAUUUACCGUUUGAACUUCCGCCGCGUCAAAUAAAAACUGUUAGACGGGCCAACCUAUCAUCUUCUUCUUCUUCUUUUUCUUCUUCUUCCGGAAUCUUUGAGCUUCUCUCUCAUCUUCUGCUUCUCCAAUGGCGUCGUCCAGCUCCGGAAGUUCAAUUGCGGCUCCAGGUACUUCCAAUCUCCAAUAAAAAUUUUACGUUUCUCUCUUUUCCUCACAUCGCCACACUCUCUCUGAUCUCGGAAACUUUGACCGGUUGGUGCCACAGAGGCCGUUCAAGUUCUCGUUUCUCUCCUCGCCGACGAAUCCCCCAAUGUCAGAGAAGCCUCCAUCGCCUCCCUCAAAGACAUUGCCUCCCUGUAAAUCUCUCUCUCUCUCUCUCUCUCUCUCUAUAUAUAUAUAUAUCUAUAUAUGCAAGUGACGUAGACCAUUACGUAAUAGAUUGAAUUGCGAUUUGCAGGAGUCCGGUGUUAGUCCUCGAUUGCUGCUCGGCCGUUUCGAGAGGAGGACGGAGGGUAAGCUAGUUUUCUUGGCAUUGAAGUUAGGAUUUUGCUAGGGUCUAGUUUUGCAAUGUGGAGUGUGAUCACUGAAGAGGCUUUUUCACUGCAGCGGUUUGGUAAUAUGGCUGGGGUUUUCCAAGUAAUGUCGUAUGGAGUCGGAGCUUUGGACAACAAGGAUGUGGAUCCUCCUUUCAUGACCAAGCUUGCCAAGAUUGCCACCGCGGAGAUUAUCUCCUCCAAGGUAGUUUGGAUGAUGAAUUGUAGGUUUGCUAGUGGAAAUGCUUGCGCGACUUGAUUGGAGUAUAUUGUGUUUGAUGCAGGAGCUCAAUACAGACUGGCAAAGAGCUGCAUCGGGCCUUCUUGUUUCGAUUGGCUUGCAUUUGCCUGACCUAGUAAGUAUCUUUGUGCAAGUAGAACUCGCAUUAUGUCGUAUGUGGUUUGAAACUGAGUGAGUUUGUUUUGUUACGACUAAUAUAGUGUGAGAUGAAAACAAUGGUAUAUUCUAGUUUGUUGCUUCCGGUAUACCCUUGUGAUCUGAUUAACUUGAGUGACUUGAGUGCUGGUAAGUAACUUUGAGGGGUAGAUCGUAGUAGUAAAAAAUUGACUGCCAACUAAUAUCGUUGUUACCACCCGAAUUCUCCCAACUCUUACACCAGAUUGACUAGUGAUGUAGAUAUAACAUGAGGAUCUAACCAUUGUGCCGUUGGCUCUGUUGGGAUUGCCAGCUUCUGUAUUUGAAUAUAGUUUUUCUACUGACAUAAAUGUUCAAAUUCCUUGAUGUUUGUUGCAACCUGUUUCUGGCAUCUUGAAAUGCCUGAAUUAAAAUUCAGUCUCCCAAUAUACUAUAUACAAUCGUAUUCCUUUUCUUUGGAUUAGUGGGUUGGGCCAAUCCUUAUUCUUGUAGAUAGUAUGUAACGUAUUAGUCUCACCUGAGGAAAACUAUGACAGGACCUAUGUUUUAGAUGUAUUUGAUUGUCAAAAGAUUAUUUCUCUGCACACUAUUAGCCCCAUUUUCUUGACAUUGUAUAGAAAUCAAUUUCCAGUGUUGGCAGUUAGUUCUCUCUCCCUUCCUCUUUCCUUGCUGUUCCUGAGAUUCUUCAUCAACCUGUCCGUUACUUGAUUUUCUUCUCGUUUAUUGAUAUUUCAGAUGAUGGAUGAAAUAUUUCUCCAUUUGCCCGGGCCAAAUUCAUCUUUACCAGCUAUGGUUCAGAUACUAGCAGACUUUGCGCUUGCUGAUGGUUGAUUAUCAAACUUUUCUUCUCUGCGUUCGAGCUUGUGCAUGUUCAUAUGUUACUUUUUUUUUCGUCUUUUGGCUUAACUAAAUUUCGUGACAGACUAUUUUAUCCUUUGAAGCAUUGCAGUUCACACCACGAUUGAAACAUGUGCUUUCGCGGGUUCUACCUAUUCUAGGAAAUGUGCGUGAUGCCCACCGGCCAAUUUUUGCUAAUGGUAUCUGAAUUGUCUCUUCUGUUUGGUUAUGCUAUAUUGAAGUGAAAUUGGAGUAAAGGGGUUGCUAUUAUUUGAGAGCUGUUGAACCAUUUACUAUAUGUUCCAAACACUGGUCAAAGUCUGCCAAAUAUCUCAAGUACUGCAAUGUCUAACUUGCACAUGCUAAGAUGGGUUAAGCUCAUGCUUUCAUUCCAAAUCAAGUAAAAGAUUAUGGCUGCCAAACCAACAAUUUCGAAUGUUCAAUAAAUUUCUGAAUGACUUGAGAAGAUUUAUGGAACUUGUGAUGAUGUUUCCAGUCUUGACUUGAGACAAAGGCCACUAAGAGGAAAGAUGAUAAUAAUAGCUGGGGCAUGCUAUUAUGUUAGAGUCUUAUUAUUUGUAGAUAGACGUGUUAUUUUCUACGUCUUUUAAGUUAUCCUUCUCAUCGUUGAUAAAACUUUCCCCUCUUUUUUUUUUUGCAUAGUCUUUGACAAAUUUCUCAUAAAUGUUAAUAUACAUAAUUUACUCAAUAAUAUUCUCUCUCUCUAGAUGCUGACUAUCUUUACGCUUUUCAGCUUUUAAGUGUUGGUGUCAGGCUGUUUGGCAAUAUAAUCUGGAUAACCCUUCUUACCCAUCUCUGGAUAGUGACAUAAUGUGAGAUCAUUGAUCCCAACCCAUCAUUUCAAAUAUGCCCUUUUUACAUGUCGAUAUGUUUCUGUCUUAAAUGAAAAAGCAUCAUAUACUGCAGGUCAUUUCUGAAUUCUGUUUUUGAGCUUUUAUUGAGAGUUUGGGCAGCUUCAAGGGAUCUAAAGGUUAGGAAAAUAUUCUCCUUCUGUUUCUUAUCGUAAUCUCACUGUUUUGCAUAAAAUUUUAUGCAGCUUCACUUUGGUAUUCGCUUAUCUAUAAGUUGGUUUCAGCCAAAUAAUUAUAUAUGAAUAAAGCCUGAUUUUUAAGUGCCUUCUAUAGUUCUACUUUCUUACUAUGUAUAAUGUCUAUUUUUCACAAAUGUAAGUAUCUUUCUUAUAAACAAAAGUUCAAAAGCAUAUAAUUUCGCGUGAAAGACACAAAUAUUUUACUAAUAAAGCAGUUGUUAUAGUAAAAGUCUGAGUAUCAAGUCUGGUGUUUGCUAUUGGUCAGAAAUUUAGAAAAGCAAUUACUCAUGUAUGGCCUCCUAUAUGCAUUUGUUUUUUCUUUGAUGCUGAAGAGCGUUGUUAAAUGUUAACAAAUUUUUAUAGAAGACUAGAAAUGCAGAUGCUUACAAAACUGCCCCAUAUUAUAGUGUUCCAUGUGGCUAGCUUUUGGUUUUUGAUUACAUCCAAAUGUCCAUUGGUAUUGGGUUUUGGAGGAGACCCUUGUUUUGAACUGGGACCAGCAAUUGGGUUUGGGUAAUCUGGGCAUAAAGAAAUUCCACUGAUAUUUUUUCUUUUUCUUGUACCUAUAAACCUUUUUUUUUUUACCUGUUAAGACAACUUAUUCCAUUUUACUGAUGUGAAAUUUGAUAUUAUAAACCCUUUUCGGAGAGUAGGUUCGGUCAUCUUCUGUAGAAGCAUUGGGUCAGAUGGUUGGCCUUAUUCCCCGGACGCAAUUAAAGGCUGCUUUACCCCGGCUUGUCCCCACAAUAUUGGACUUGUAAGAUUGAUUAUAGUAGUUCUGGUUGUAUAUGUUUAUGAUGCUGCACCACAUGUAUGUUUUGGUGUACCGGUUUUCGGUCACAGCACUUUUCCAUCUUGAUAUAUCUCAUAUAUUUCUCAGGAUAAAUGGACACACAUAGUGCUGGCUUUGUAUCUGUAAAUCUAUAUUAUCAAAAUCUUUGUGUCUUUUUCCUAUUGAUCAGAUACAAAAGAGAUCAAGAUAUUUCGUUUUUGGCAACUUGUAGUCUUCACAAUCUCUUAAACGCAUCUGUACUAUCAGAUAGUGGUCCUCCUUUACUUGAAUUUGAGGUAAAGCUACUGUAAUCUGUUUUUAUUCUUAUUUUUAGUUUUUAUUCCUAGUCAGUUUAUUGGUUGUAAGUCCUAAAAUCAUGUUAUUUUGACUGCAACACUUGACUUUUGUCUAUGGUUUUAAUUUGAAUAGCUGCGCUGGUUUUUCUGUUCAACAUUGUCACAAUUCUAAAAGAAUGAAACAUGUAUUUAGAUCGUAAAUUGAGACCAUGAAUCAGGCUUUGCAUAGUAGGAGAUCUUAUACAUUACAUCUUAGGUGUCUCGCUUCUGAUAGACUAGUACUGCUGUUUCUUUCAAACACCGGUUUAUUCUUAUGAUGGUUCGCAGGAGCUCAGCAUCGUUCUAUCAACACUCCUUCCGGUGGUCUGUAUCCAUAACGACAACAAAGAAAACUCAGAUUUUUCAGUUGGAUUGAAGGUGUAGAAAACUUAUUUCCUUAUGUUUGAAUAAGCUUCUGAUUUCUUUCUAUGUUGCUAGUUUCUACAAUGGUCUAUAAUUGCUUUAGUUAUUUCUUGAAUCUGUAGGUCUUUUGUUUAGAUCUCUAAUUUAUUCGUAUCUUCUUCAUGUUAUUGUGGUUCUUACUCAAACCACAUCUUUUUGACACAUCCUGUUUAUAAUGGAGGAUAACUUCACAUUCUCCCAGCAAAACAAAAAUUGUUUCCUGCCUUUUGCUUCAAGGACUAGGUCCACAUAGUAUCUAUGAUUUCAUACUGAUGUUUAUGCCAACAGCUACCUUCCAAAUGUUUGAGUUCUUUUCUUUUCCUUGUGGCCAGACAUAUAAUGAAGUUCAGCGUUGCUUCCUGACAGUUGGUUUGGUAUACCCUGAAGAUUUAUUUGUUUUCCUUCUAAAUGUGAGUAUUCUUUCAUCAAAUGUUCCUUCUUACUGCCACAUGAUCCAAAGUAAAAAAAAGAAAAGUUGUCCUUCUGUUCUACAAUAGUUUACAAGGUCCAACUUAAAUUAGAUGACCUUUUCUUUUUUCUGCAUUUGUGCUACCAGAAAUGCAACUUGAAGGAAGAACUAUUGGUGUUUGGUGCACUCUGUGUUCUAAAGCAUCUAUUGCCGAGGUUCUUUACAUUCUGUUGUCUCUAUUUACUUUGUCCGAUUCUUUUACAUAAUUUGACAUUCUUAUAAUUUUAUAUGGAGGCUGUCUGAAGCUUGGCACAAUAAACGACCCUUACUUGUUGAAGCCGUCAGAUCGUUGCUAGAUGAGCAAAACUUAGGUGUCCGAAAAGCGCUCUCAGAGGUAUUCAGAUUCAAAUUAUGAAGUGGUAGCUGUAGGCAAUAUGCUACCUUUUAAAUUACCUUUUUCUUCAGUCUUUUCAGAAGCACUUUUGUCUUUCCUCUCCACUAACUUUACAUUGCAUUGCUUGCGCAGUUAAUUGUCGUUAUGGCAUCGCAUUGUUACUUAGUUGGUCCGUCUGGGGAGCUGUUUGUUGAAUAUCUUGUGCGUCAUUGUGCUUUAACAGAUAAGGACAGACAUGACUUUGAGAGGUCUAAGGAUGUUUCAGGAAACACCUAUGUUCCCUUCCAAUACAAGAGAUCAGAGGUUUGCAUCCGACAAUUUUUACUUUUGGAAAUUUUAAUGUUGCUACUGAUCCUACGUGGCUGCUACAAAAGAAAUUUUUGUUUUGAUGUUACAAGCAUUCUGUAACAUUUACUGAGAUGAAAAUAUGAUGGCAAAAACAUAUUUGGAAACGGUGAAUUUUCUUUUAAAUGUUGUAUGUUUUAUGACUUGUCUCCAGUAUUUAAUCAUGUGCAUCUUAGAAUAACAUUUUUUUUUAAACAGUUACUGGAUUUUUCUAAACUGUCUUGGAACUAUCAGAUGCUUAUAGCAUUAAUGCUAGCUUCAUCUUCUUAGGUGAUAAUUGGGACACUUUGUCCAAUGGAGUUGAGGGCAAUAAGCGAAAAAAGUCUUCUGUUGCUGACUAUUACGAUCCCUGAAAUGGAGGUAUGCAAGAUUGUUGAUUCUACAUUCAGUAGACGUCUAAGUUUUUACUGGUGGUUUGAGCUUCUAAAGGGGUUUCUUUGUACAAGCAUAUAUCGACAUCUUAACAUUAUUUUCGUGCAGCAUAUACUAUGGCCUUUUCUGUUGAAGAUGAUUAUUCCACAAGCUUAUACGGGUGCAGUUGCUAUGGUAGGAAUUUCUAUAUAUCUUCGUCUUUACAUUCUUAGAUCCUGCUGUUUCUGUUGAGUAGAAGUUUACUAGUUCUUGGUGAUAAUCUGAGUCAAUGUAUGUAUUCAUUAUAGUUGUCUCCCGAAUUUGAAUAAUUUCUGCUGCUACAGGUUUGCAGAUGCAUCUCUGAGUUGUGCAGGCAUAGAUCUUCUAAUAGCGAUACUAUGGUGAAGGACUGCAAAGCUCGUGCUGAUAUACCAAAUCCUGAGGUAGACUUCUUUCUAUAUUGAACUUUGGACUCUUUUUUGUGCAUCUCCAGACAAUUUAUCUCAGCAAUCCAUAUAUUACUUGUGUUUAGGAGCUUUUUGUUCGGUUGGUGGUGCUUUUGCAUGAUCCUUUAGCAAGGGAGCAGCUGGCUAGUCAGAUUUUGACAGUAAGUGUAUAUUAUGUUUAAGUGUGGAUUUAUCCUGGAAAUAAACUGGGAGUAAUAUGUAUUAAUGAGUUGUGUCAAUUUACUUUUAUACUUGCUAUAGAAUUCCAAACAUGCGAAUCCAAUCUCAUUCACUAUAAUAACUGGUUUAAUGUGUAACACAUGGUUUAAUGAGUCAUGUCUACUUACUUUUAACCCAAAUAAACUGGUAACUUAAUGAGUCCCUAUAUAUAAGCACAAACUUGUCCACUGUUUUGACGAUUUGGUGUGUACCACCCCACAACAGCACCCCUCAUUUACUUGUGUGAGAGAUAUUUUAUCAGUGCGGGAGAUGUCAGAUGCUUCUUUGUAUUUUUCAAUAGAUGGUUCAGAUGAGUUUAAGAUAUUUUGCAGGUUAUUUCUUUCGUAAAUAAAAAAAUGGUGUUUGUGCACUGAUUUAGUUCACCUAUUAUUCUUAUAAUUCUAAAUGAGGAUACAUGUGCUUUUUGUGUUGCCUCGCAGGUACUUUGUUAUCUGGCACCACUGUUUCCGAAAAAUGUCGGCUUGUUUUGGCAAGAUGAGGUAAAUCAUUAUGCAGUUAGAAUUGAAUAGUUUUGUUAAAGCUGGAUGUUUCAUGUUUGGGUUAUAAUUUUUACAUAUAAGUAUUGUCAUACCUUUGAAACUAGGUUGGAUUAACAGGUCAUAAAUACCAUUGUUUAUGUGAUUUUAGAAAAUAAACGUAGUCUUGGCGGUGCUGUUCUUAUUUGUGACAAAAUCCAUAUGUGCUUUUAGAAGGAAAUAGAAAAGUAGUAAUAUUGGCGGAGAUGUCAUAUUUGUUUAUUUUCAUUUCCUUUUGGGAUUGAAUUCCUUGUUCUUUCCUGUGAAAUUCCUUGUACUUGACACUGAAUUUGGUAAAUACUUGACAAUUAUGUGCUUAAUUUUCCUUUUGGUGUAUUCCUUUUACCUGAUGACAGGGAAAACCAAAUGAUUAGUAGUCUAAUUUAUUUUUGUCUUUGGUAAGCUCUAGAUUCCAAAAUUGAAGGCAUAUGUUAGUGACACAGAAGAUCUUAAGCAAGAUCCUUCUUAUCAAGAAACUUGGGACGACAUGAUAAUCAAUGUAAGUGCAGUGGAUCUUUCAAUAAUACCGAUCUAUAUACAUGGGAUUUUUUUUGGAAUAUGGUUCAUGCUGGCUGUUGGAACCAUGUCCUACAGUGGAUCAUUUAGGUGAUGCUGGUAAAACAUAAUAAUCUGCUUCUAGACUUUACCAUGGCCAUUGAAUUUGAGAGUAAUUAUUUAAAAAUGAGUCGAUGAUUAUUUUCUAAAUUCUUCCUAUAAAUUCAUAUUUGUAUCAUUCAGAUUUUGUAGAAAAGUGUACUGACAGAGAGAGAGAGAGAGAGAGAGAGGUUAAAGCUUAAGGUUCUGCUCAGUGACUGGUUAGGUUAAUUUUUCUCUUUGAUUUUAUGCAACAGUUUUUUGCAGAAUCUUUGGAUGUGAUCCAUGAUGUUGCCUGGGUGAUAUCUCUUGGAAAUGCUGUUACCAAACAGUAUGGGCUUUAUACAGCUGAUGAUGAACAUUCUGCACUUCUUCAUCGGUAUUAUUCCUUUCAAACCUGUUUUGCUUUGCCUGUUAGAUGAGAUAUUGCAUAUUUAUUGUCACCUUCCAGCAUUGCUGUACCUGACUCUCAGGCCGUUAGUGUACAAUUGCUAUCUUCCUUAAGUAGGUCCCACAUGUCAGGGAGUUUGUCAGGUUGCUACCUCUCCUCACUACACUAUAUCUCUAUCUCAAGAAAAGAAAAAGGAAGCUAAAUAAAAUGCACAUAUAGUGAACAUAGAAGGCUGGUGCCACUAAGGAUAGUUUCUUAGUGGUUAAUAGGAUAGGGAUUCUUGUGGUGUCCACCCCAUACAAGGGUCAUGGAUGGUUGACAUUGGAUAAUCAUUGCGGGCACAAAUUUCCAUAGCAUUUCUCAAUUAACCCACAUUCCUUUGGUAUUGUUCCUCAUUUCUAGCACCAAGAUUGUAAAGAAUGCUGAAGCACAAAUGCAAUCAAGAAAACAACUUAGCUUUUCCUGCAUUUUAAUGAUUUAGUUGCAUGUAUUCUCAACAGAGUUUUACUAAUAAUGUCCGAUUUCUAUGGGCUUCUAGUGGUUGGUGCCCUCUGUGGUUUGUCAACUUGAGAAGCCAUGUCUAACUUCAGGGUUUAACUAUAAUUCUUUCAAUGCAGCUGCUUCGGAGUGUUGCUUCAAAAAGUUAAUGACAGGGCAUAUGUCCGUGAUAAGAUAGAUUGGAUGUAUAAACAAGCAGACAUUACAAUUCCAACAAAUAGACUUGGUCUAGCAAAAGCAAUGGGCUUGGUUUGUUACAGCCCCUUGUUUAUUUUCUACUCUUUCCACCUUUACAUCAUUCAUGAUGGAAUUCUUUUGUCCUCUCCACUUCCAGGUCGCAGCAUCCCACUUGGACACAGUCCUGGAAAAGCUGAAAGGGAUUCUGGAUAAUGUUGGGCAAAGUAUCUUUCGAAGGUUUUUGCCAUUCUUUUAGAGUGCUACAUAGCAUAUAUUUAUAGUUUAGUUUAUCUAGUUAGAUUAAGGAAAUAUAGAUUCAGUAAUGAAAAAAUAAUUUAUACAUAGACAAGGUGUAUACUAUGCAGCAAGGUGAAACUAUGCAAACCUUUUCCUUUUACUGCUCUCCAAGAGCAGAAACUGGGGAUGCUGUCAGUAUACUUAUGGAUCUUAGAGUUUCUUGCUCUUCCUUGCAAAACUCUUGUGGUCAAAUGUCAUCUGCAAUGGUUUUUUACCCAUAACAUGUUGUUUCUAUAUUGCAAGUAGAAAGUUCAAGGUGUUAUUUCUGGAAACAUAAGCUAAUAAAAUAUAACAAAGUCAAUCAAAUAAGAAGAAAAUGAAAUUGUAAUGUAAUUGUUAGUCCAAUGGUUUCCUUAGAGUGUGCACUACUGUUGUGUUCAGUACAAGCUUUAAAUUAUAAGAAAUGCAAGAAGUUGUUAAUGCAAUGUGACCCCUUUCUCUUUGUUUCUUUUGUCAUUGUCAUCCUUAUAUAUAUACACAUAUUUAUUUAUUUUUAUAUUGUAAUGCUCAAUUUACAUUUAGUGUGCAAUAUUAUGGGUUUGAUAUGAAGACAUUCUCCUUUGCUUCAUUUAUUGCAGAUUCCUAUCCAUUUUCUCGGACGAUUUUAAAACUGAAGAGUCUGAUGAUAUACAUGCUGCUUUGGCUCUAAUGUAUGGAUAUGCGGCAAAAUAUGCUCCGUCAACAGUCAUCGAAGCCAGAAUAGAUGCACUUGUUGUAUGAAAUCUUGUCCUUUCCUUAAUGCCCAUAAUACCGAGAAAGAAAUAGAUUCUGUUUUUCUCCCUUCAAUAUUUCUAGCAUGUAUUUUGAAUUAAGAAUCUAGUGAACUGUUCAACUUUAGGGUUCCUAUUUAUUUCUUGCUCAGACUUCUGGUCUUACUAAAAAGGCCAAGGUUUUUAGAUCUUGAAGAACUUACAUAUCGGUUACUUUUUCGUCUUGCAGGGGACUAAUAUGCUUUCUCGGCUUCUCCAUGUGCGCAACCCUACUGCAAAGCAGGCUGUUAUCACUGCUAUCGACCUUCUAGGUUUGUAAGAGUCAUUGGAAAUAUGGUGUCAUUUUGUUUCGUGUACUCUGUAUAAGCUGCUGCUGACAUGGAAUGUAAUGUUUAUGCUUUGUUGGGUGUUUUAACAUGUUUUGUGAAGUUCAUAGUCCUGUAAGCGGUUUAAAUAGUUGAAAUGCUCUGACUGGGUCUGUUACUGUAAUGCUUAUAACUAUUCCAUUCCCAAAGGAAGUCAUCACUGAAAAUGUUGUUAGCAUUGAGUCCUGAAUGUUUAACCCCAUAUAACCAGUGGUUAGGUGUCUGUUUGUUGGUGUGGUGUGCUUUGAAGUUGUACUUAAAUGUUUAUUCCUAUCCGGAGACUUGAAACAGAGAAAGAUUAGAUUGCAAAGAGUGUGUGCAUGCUUCUUUCCCUUUUAGUUAAUGUGCCUGCUUGCAUAUUCUUAGACACACUAACAUGCAGGGUUGUCGAACUUAAACUCUAAUAGAAGUGUAGGUGAUCAUAUUAUUGAUGUUGCUAAUGUAGUAUGGUGUUAUCAAUCUAUCGUUAAUCACAUGUUUAUGUUGGAAAAAGCUUGACUAUUUGGGCAGAAUGAUAUAUUAUUUCAAGAUUAGACAAGGAAAUAUUGUAAUUCUCAUUAUCUGCAAUUUUAUACAAUUGCUGUGCUAUGAUCUGUGCCAUAUGGCUUUGCACCUAAAGUUGAUGAAUUAUUAUGAAAUUGCAGGUCGCGCUGUCAUUAAUGCCGCAGAAAAUGGUUCAUCGUUUCCAUUAAAGAAAAGGGACCAAUUGCUAGACUAUAUAUUAACUUUGAUGGGACGAGAUGACGAUGAAAACCUUUCAGAUUCUACUCUUGAACUUCUGGACACACAAGUUAGUAAUAUCCUUGGAACAAUUGUCUGUGGCGAGAUUGCUUUUGUUUUUCCAGAAAACCAUGGGAAAAAGAAAUUUAAUUUUGGGAAAAAUUUUAUGGGUAUUUGUCUCAUUUGUAAUAACUUUCUACGGGUCAUUUUAUUUUUCUACAAUUUUUACGAUGAUCUUGCCUGAACACAUACCUAAAUACUAUAGACGUAUUAGAUCAUUGCACUCCAAAUCAAUGCCACAACAUAAAUUUCUCCUUAGCUGUACUCCUUAAGAGAGACCAAAUGUUCGUGAAUUUCUUUUAUAACUUUUUAUAUAUCUCUUCCCCCGGUUUACAAUUUUGCAGGCCCGUGCUUUAAGUGCAUGUACUACGCUGGUUUCUGUGGAGCCAAAACUAACAAUUGAAACCAGAAACCAUGUGUUGAAGGUUCGGUGUUAUUACACACAUGUUGUAUUUAAACUGAAAUCCUUUUUCUUGUUGGUUGUUAUUAAAUAUCAGUAAUCUGAUAAUUUGACAGGCCACCUUAGGGUUUUUUGCUUUACCAAAUGAUCCAGCAGAUGUAGUCGAUCCCCUUAUUGACAACCUUAUCACUCUAUUGUGUGCAAUUCUUCUUACAAGGUAUCGUAAACUUGUGGUCUGUUCUUUUCCAGACUACGUAUCUUCUGAUAUAUCAUUCUGUCAUCUAUUUUAGUUUUUUUAAAAUACUUUUUGUUUUGUUAUAUUUAUUGUUAAAGUAACCGGAAUCCAUUGGUCUUCAUUUACAAUUUUGGAUUUAUAUAAUGAGAUUAUAUCUAUCUUGAAAACUUUUGGGUAAGAUGAGUUUCCACAUCUGGAAGUUCUAAGCUUGCAUCUCAAAACAUAUAUUGUGGGCCUCUUCAGCCAGUGGGUUUGGUUUAGAAUCUAACUCCCACCAUUUAUGAAAGCAGACUGCUUUUAUAUCUUAGAGUAUGUUAGCGUUAACAUAAACUCGUGUCUACAUAAACCACUGACAAUACACAAAGUUUAGUCCCUUCACCUUUCCUCAAAUCCUUGAAAAGAAUGCUCAAGAAUUCAAAUAACCCCUUUAAAAACACUUCAACUUCCUUAACAGCCUCCACCAAUAUAGAGAUUAAGAACAAUGCCGGAAUAAGUGAUGCACACUCUCUCACUAAGUUUACAGAGAAAGCAUGUGAGUAAAUGCCCAGAGAAGUUCUAGUCUUUUGGAUCUGAUCACAUCCUAGGAGCCACUGAUCAGCCCAAAAUCUUAACUUCCGCAGUCUUCAAUUUCCAAAAGCUGAGAAAUUGGUGAGGGUAAGAGGAAUCCACAACAUGUACAAAAAGUACUGUAAGAUUUUCUGGAGGAAGUUCCAGACCCAUCUACUAUCUACUCCUGAAACAUGUCAACCCCCUCGAACUUACCAAGCUGCAAAACAAACUCCUCUGCCUCAAAGUCAUUCAAGUUAUUCCUAGAGGCUAGAGCCAAAACCCAGUUCUAAGGAAAAGGAAAAGAAGUACCUUGUAAUAACCUGGAAACAACACCUGCAGUAUAUUCUCCAUUGUCCUCCCAGAAUCUCACCCUGAAGAGGCUUAAUAGAGAAUAUAAAUUCUCACAAUCUUGUAUUCUAGGUCUUGCGUCUCAAUAUAUUGAAUCCCUGCCCUCCCUAAUGGUUUGGUUUUCUUAUGCAUCAAAACAUCUCUCUUUGUAAUUAACUAUGCAUUUUCUAGCUGUUAUGAAGCUAUGGGCCCCUUAUGUUUAUCCAGUUGAACUAACCAUUUAGAUUCUAGGAAUUGCUUUUGCUACUUUUCUAUAUUGAUUAGUGAACCUAUAACAGGGAAAUUGCAUUGGAUUAUAUGUAUAGCUGUUUUUAUUUACAACAUGCAUAAGGCUUCUGAUUACCAAUAUGUGACAAUUUAGUGGAGAAGAUGGAAGAAGUCGAGCAGAGCAAUUACUGCACAUCUUGAGACAAAUUGAUCAAUAUGUUUCUUCAGCUGCCGAUUAUCAAAGAAGAAGAGGUUGUCUUGCAGUACAUGAGAUGCUUCUCAAGUUUCGGACAGUUUGCAUCACCGGACAUUGUGCCCUUGGCUGUCAAGGAAGUUGUACUCACAUCAAGCCAAUUGACCGUAAUUUGCAUGGGAAUUUUUCCAACUUGCCAUGUAAAAAUGUCUCCUAUGACAGCUUUUUCCCUUUUUAUUUGUUCUUUCCUACCCUGAUUCUUAUAUUGUUGAACUACCAGCGGCAUUCGUGUUGCCAAGUCGUGAGGCCUUGUCUUUAGGAGACAGGGUUAUUACAUAUCUCCCACGCUGUGCAGACACCAAUGCUGAAGUUAGAAAAGUCUCUGCUCAGGUGAGUUUCUGGUAGAAUUUGCCUGGUCUUUUAGUUUUAGCUUCUUUUUUUUUUUUUUUAAAGAAAAAGAAAAUUUACACCUCAUUGUUAUCUGAUAUAAGUUAUAUUGACACCCAAGUGUUGUUUCUUAUUUUGAUUACAUAUGACAUAAAUCUAUCUAUCUCUGUGUAGAUUCUUGAUCAACUUUUUAGCAUCUCACUUUCACUUCAACGGCCUGCAACUUCCUCUUAUGGUGUUGACAUAGAAUUGUCCUACAGUGCUUUAUCAUCCCUGGAGGACGUCAUAGCGAUUUUGAGGAGUGUAGGUCCAUUGCCUUACUCGUUUUCUUCUUUUUCAGAUUUCUGUUCUUUACAUUUGUACAUUCCAUUGUUGGGUAAAUUUGACACUAGGGAAAUCUUAUGGUUUUUCUAUAUAUCCAGGAUGCUUCUAUAGAUCCAUCUGAGGUUUUCAACAGAGUCAUCUCUUCUGUUUGUUUAUUACUCACAAAGAAUGAGGUUAGUGCGUUGUACUGAACAUGCUCUCAGAAUUGAAAUGUAUGCUGCAACUGUCGUAUCUUAUUCUCAGUCAAUUCUUGCAGCUUGUAGCUACCCUGCAUGGUUGCACAGCUGCUAUUUGUGAUAAGGUCAAGCAAUCAGCUGAAGGGGCAAUUCAAGCUGUUAUUGAGUUUGUCACAACAAGGGGGAAUGAGCUGAGUGAAAUUGAUGUUUCAAGGUUUUUGUGAUUAUGAAUUUUUAAUUUAGUAAUAGAUUUCAAAAACAGAAAUAUUUGAAGAGCUUUUCCCUCUGGAUAAAGAAAUAGAUUUAUGCCCAUUACUGAUGGGGUAUAUUUGUGGUUAUAGAACAACGCAAGCUCUACUGACGGCUACUGGGCAUGUAACAGAGAAGCAUUUACGUCAGGAAACUCUUGCUGCCGUAUCUUUUUUUACCUUUAUAAUGAAUUACAUGCAUGUAUAUGUAACAGGGCCUUUUAAAGUGAAUGAUGCCUCUUGAGAGAAGAAGGAAACAUAGUUUAUGAUCUAUUGGCUGUUGGCUACUGCACAUUGUGUUCCGAUGAUCCCUAUUCACAUAUUUUGAAUCUCCCUUUAAGGAUCAGGCAAUAUCACUUUAAAUUGGUUUACUCAUAUAGUCAUUUAUGAUAACUUCAGUAUUCAUGGCAAACUAAUUGUCUAUUUAUUGCAUUAAGAUAGAUUAUUUUGGCUGUUUCUUUUUUCUUUCUAAGAAAGCACUUUACUCAGAAACUCCCUAUAACUGUGUCCAAUCUUAUAUAUAAAUAUUUCCUGUUGCCUUGCUUGUCAAAUUCAGCAAUGCUGUUGCUCUUAUCUAUCAUUUGGUUAUUCUUUUUUGGGCUUCUAUCGAAUAUCCUUAACUGCUAGAAGAUUUCUUCUCUUGCCGAGAGCACUAGUUCGAAAGUUGUCUUCAAUGAAGUUUUGGCCACAGCUGGAAGGGAUAUAGUAACGAAAGAUAUAUCCAGACUACGCGGUGGCUGGCCAAUGCAAGAUGCUUUUUAUGUGAGUCUCCUGUGACUUUCACUUGUUGCACUUUACGGUCAAAUCUUAAUGUUGAUUGGUCAGGAGUAGCCAUCAUUGUUGCCUUGGUCUCGUUGCCAAAUUUAGUUCGACUAUUCUCUCUGAUUGAUUUAUCUUUCAUUUUACUAGUAUUAUGUCCUUAAGUUCUUCAUUUAAUUUAUUCAGUUUGAUGUGAAUGAUUUAUUUUUAUUUUUCCCUGUAGGCAUUUUCCCAGCAUACAGUUCUUUCCUCUUCAUUCCUGGAACAUGUGAUAUGUGUCCUUGAUCAGUAUCCUGUCCUUAAAGCUGAUUCCGAGAAAGGAGACUAUUCUAGCCCUUCAGUUGAUGGUCAUAUAGACGAUGAAGUUCUUCACGCAGCCAUUGUUGCUCUCACUGCAAUUUUCAGGUUUAUAGAAAAUGAUGCUGUCACUGCCGUCUAUUUGAUCCAUUUAUUUAAUCAUCAUAGUAUCAGUAAUCCAUAUGUCAGCUUUGCUUAUCAGACUUGAGCUAGAUUUAUUAGUUAGAUAAGUUCGUUAAGUCUACUUUUAUUGCAGAGGUGGUGGCAGAAUAGGAAAAAAAGCUGUUCAACAAAACUAUGCUUCUGUUCUUGCUGAACUCACUCUUCAAUUGGGAAGCUGUCAUGGUCUGGCCAAGUGUGGUCAGCAUGAACCAUUACGGUAAUCAUCUUGUAGAUUUUACUGUUUGGCAUAGAACAUAACUGACACCAACACACACACAUGUGUUUAGUCAUAUUUGCAUACACAGAACCAAUCAGAAGCACAUGUCUGCAAUGUGAACUCUGCCAAAAUGCUGGGGCUGUUCAAACUUUGAAAGGUGUUGUUAUAUCCUUUUGAAUGUGCAGCUGUUUUGGCCAAGGUUCACAUUGCAGAGGUCUGCUUCUGAAAAUGUAUACAUAUACUGUGAAAGUUUGAAUUAUGUUAUUCGAUGUCUCAAUUUGUGUGCUCUUGCAGGGCACUUCUAACUGCAUUCCAAGUAUUCUGUGAAUGUGUUGGAGAUCUUGAGAUGGGAAAGGUACAAAAUAUAUAAAGGACUGCAAUCUCUCUAUUUGUUUGUUCAUAAAUUGUCUCUUGCAAUAGGAGUGAAAUGUAAUUUGGAUAUACCUUGUAAUUUUGUAUAGAUUUUGGCUAGAGAUGGAGAGCAAAAUGAAAAUGAGAGGUGGAUCAAUCUAAUUGGAGACAUAGCGGGCUGCAUUUCCAUAAAGAGACCGAAAGAGGUAAUAUGGCUCUUCUGGGACACUAUUUAUGUAUUGAUAUACAUUGGAACUGAUCACAGUGAAGUGAAUGCCAAAGUAAAUGGCAGUGACAGUGAGUGUAGACUUCAAGAGAGAGAUAACUGUUAAGUUGUGUUCUGUCACAUUAUCGUGGAUUUUGGGUAAAAGGGAACUUGCCCGUACACAAUUUGCCUUUGUUAGACACUAGGACACGUGAUAUAUUUAUGCUAUGUGUUUUAAUUUCUUUAUUUCUAAAUUCUUAGAUUAAUAAGAACCCCUAUGAAUUCAUGUUUAUGGCUGGGUAGUUUUGUUUCUUGAUGGAUCUUUUUGUUUUUCUUUUAAGGUUCAAAGGAUAUGUGUAAUUUUUAGUAAAUCAUUAAAUAGACACCAAAGAUACCAAAGGGAAGCUGCAGCUGCUGCAUUGUCAGAGUUUAUCCGCUACAGGUAUGAUAAUGAUGUCAGUCAACACUGGUUACUUGUUUUUAGAUGCAUUAUUUCACAUAUUUUAACGUGUAAAAGAUAUUGCUAUUUCCAUGAUAAUGAAAGGAGUUUCCUGUUGCAAAUGUUGUGUCCAUCCUGUGUCAUUUGUCUCAGUGUUGUUAUUAAUUUUGUUUACAUUUGCGAUCACUGUUGUUUGUAGAGUUUGCAAGUUUUCUAUAGGAUGCCAAAUAGCACUCUACUUCUUAUUGGUUCCUUCUAAAUCACUUAUUUUGAUAUGCACAAACUGUCGUUAUUUCGAUGGUGCAUUAUUGCGAUCAGGAUAUCUUAUCAUCACAAAAACGCUAUCCGUCAUGACAUUAUAGCUGUGUAAUCUUGUUAACUGAAGGCAUACGGUAUGGAAAAUAUUGGUUUACUCAAAUUUUUUUCAUAUAACAAUAACUGAUCACUCUAUGCAUUUCAAUUUUGUGCGUCUCUGAGACCGGUUUAGUUCUUUGCAAACAAUUUGAACUCCUUUGUGCAUAAAUUUAGUUCAUUCAUCCACUCACACUUGUGUGUUAUUAGUUAAAUUGGUUCUGUUAGCUUUUCAUUCCAGCAUCUUACGAGUUAAUAUUCAUGACAAUGCAGUGAUAGUUUUGGCUCCCUAUUGGAGCAGAUGGUGGAGGUGUUGUGUCGACAUGUAACAGAUGAGUCUCCAACUGUCAGGCGCUUAUGUUUGAGAGGAUUAGUACAGGUUUGCUAAUUCUAACACAUGUUUAGGAACCACUGUUCAACUUUUGUGUGUGCUUUCUCUUUUCCCUUAAUUUUCUUUUGAUCUCUGCAUAGUAUGAAUAUGUACAGGAGGAAAUGACAUUUCUAACUUUUUCUGUUGUAGAUACCUUCUAUUCAAAUGCUUCAGUAUACAAGUCAAGUGCUGGGCGUAAUAUUAGCUUUACUAGAUGAUUCUGAUGAAUCUGUGCAAUUAACUGCAGUUUCUUGCUUACUCACGGUGAAUUCUCCACCCCUCUGUAGGUGUUCAUCUAAUUUGCUACAUCUGCCGGUUACAUUUUGGUAAUCAUUCUUAUUUUUUUGGAUGCAAUAGAUGCUUGAGUCGUCACCCAAUGAUGCAGUGGAUCCCAUUUUGCUCAGUCUUUCUGUACGGCUUCGUAAUCUUCAGGUGUGCUACUUUACUCUUUGGUCUACUUGCUCAGAAAGUUAUUUGCAGUCUAGAAUGAUUUACUAAAUGUUUGAAACAGAUAAGCAUGAACCCCAAGAUGCGAGCCAAUGCAUUUUCAGCUUUAGGAUCACUUUGCAACUACGGAACUGGGGCACAACAUGAGGCAUUUCUUGAGCAGGUUGGAACCUAUCUUAUGUAUUGAAGAAACUUUCUUUGAUUUGAAUCUUGAUUAUCAUAUUUCAUGGUUACACCCACCCACCCACAAGUGCACAGAUAUAUAAAUAAUAUGCAAGCAGUGGCGGAUCCAGGAUUUAAAUAUGGGGUGGGCUUCAAAUUUGGCCGAAGGCCAAAAAAAAUUUCGUUGUAUACCCAUGCAAAGUGUAGGAGCUCAAGCAUACGUCAAUUACGAGUCUUUGAAAAAAAUGAAAAUAGGCGUCAAUGAAAGUAGAAGAAAAUUUAAAAAAUAAGAGACAAAUUAGAAAACCCAAUAAGAAUAUAUUGAAAUCCAAUAUUUCAUCGGAUUCUAUAUAGGAAAAAGAAGAUUAGAAAAUUUAUAUUCAACAAACUUUAGAGAUUUAAGCAGGAUAAGACUAGAAAACUAGAAGGAUAAGAAGAAGAAUGGAAGAGUAGAGAUGUAGUCGCAUACACAAGAUGAGAUGCGUAAAAGUAUGGAAGUUAGGUGGGCUUGAAUGCACAAAAAAAAAUAUAUCCAAUAAAAAAAACAUAAUACACUUGGUUUUUUUUUCAAUCCCAAAAACCUUGGUUGGGCUUGAGCCCCACCAACCUCUGCACUGCCUCCGCCCCUGUAUGCAAGUAUUAUGGUUUUGGUUCUAGUUAUAUCUUGUCAAGAUAACUUGUUAGACCAUUAUUGUUCGAUACUUCAACCACUUGCUUAAAUAUAUUGUAAAUGGAAUGACCUAUUUGUUUGUUAUUAUAUGAAGCUCAUAUUGAUCAUAAAUACUAAUUUCAGGUACAUGCUAUUAUUCCACGCUUGGUUCUGCAUUUGCAUGAUAACGAUGUUAUCGUCCGACAGGCUUGCCGGGUAAUUGCUUACGGUCCCUGUUAUUUCUUCCAGGGAUGAAGGUUUAUGGAAAUGUUUUGACAUGUCUUUGGUUGACUGAUUAACAGAGUACUUUAAGACGAAUUGCCCCCUUACUGGAUAUGGAAGGAUUAUUUCCCUUGUUCAACAUGCAUUGUUUCAAUCAGGAUCACCGGUAUGCCUGCAUAUAUUUUGAGAUGGCUGAGUUUAUACAACGUUUAUGAAGUGACACAUUAUAUGAUGAUAGUAAAGUCACAGAAACUUUUGUCUUUUCAGAACUGACUACGAGGACUUUGUCAGAGAACUCACAAAGCAAUUUGCUCAGCAUCUUCCGUCAAGAGUCGAUUCUUACAUGGCAUCGGCAAUUCAGGUUCCCAUGCUGGAAAGCUUGUUCUUUUCAUACAAUUAAUAUUAGUCUUGGUUGGUUGCCAUUUGCCAAGCUUGGUAUCAGCAUUACUGUACUAAGAAUUGGUUAGGCGUAGAUCCAAAGGGAAAGGAAAUGGUACACUGAUUCUCGUACGCUCUACAUUUGAUACUUACCUUAGAUUGAUAGAUCUACACCUUCUGAUUUAUUUUUAAAGCCUGUCUUGGUUAGUUUAUUGUCCACACCAACCUGUUUAGUAUCAAAUUCAAACCAUUAGUUUGAAACUGUCACAAAGAAUUACUGUAGCUAAACGUACAACCUUUUGUUUAAAGGAUAAUUUGAAAGCUUACAUGUCAAGCCACUCACAGCUUGCUCUAUGGAGGCUGGACAGGCAUAACUGCCGCAUUUGAGCUAUCCCUUAAGAUGUAGGCUAACUUUCUAGAAGUCUCGUACAUUCUUGAUGUUUUUCCUAUAAUGCAUAAUAUUUGGCUUUAUAGAAUAGCACUUCUAUUGCUUAGGUCAUUUUCAAUUUCUUAUGUAAUUUGAGCGCACAACUACUUAUCAGACAUUCUUAUUGUGGCAGGCUUUAGAUGCACCUUGGCCAAUAAUCCAGGCAAAUGCUAUAUACUUCUCCAGCUGUAUGCUAUCUCUGUCAGAUGAUCAGCACAUCUUGACUAUCUAUUAUCCACAGGUCAUUUUCAUGCAGAUUGCUAUCUUUUUAUGUCAUAACCAAAACAAACUUGGCAUGCUUACAGAAACUCAUGUCUUCAUCAGGUAUUUGGUACAUUAGUUGGAAAAUUGAACAAGUCAACAGAUGCAAGCGUGAGAGCAACGUGCUCUUUGGCCCUUGGUUUGCUAUUAAAAUCCUCAAAGUCGAUAUCAUGGAAAGCAGCUCCAGUUGAUCCUGUGGAGUAACUUGAAAUGGUCAUCUUCAUCUGUAUACGUCAAUGGCAAGUCUCCCAUUGUAAUCACUCGGCUGGCCUCAAAUUCAGGGUUUUGUGUAGCAAUGCAUGUUGGAAGUGGAAGACAUGGUACUCAGUUAUGCAGGAAGCUAAAAAAACCCUCAAUUAGGUGACUUUUGAGGUGCAUGUAGUGGUUAGCAGUGCCUGCAAUGGCAAUCGGUGUGUAUAUUGUCAAUUGUUGUAAAUUAUGUCAAUUGUAACUUUAUCAUCCCACAUUGUGCGCCCUCACUGCCGUGGGUCAUUUGUGUAUUCUGUUUGUUGUAUAUGUAACGACUUUGUUGUAACGACUUGUAUCAUAACAUGUAUGCUUAAUUACCCAGAUAAACAUAAACUCAUUGAAGCCAGAUGUUGUAAACUUGUAAAUUCGCAAAUGAAUGACAUCUGAUCUUUUAUGAUAUAUAUAACUCCCUACUUGGUUGAUCAUACCAAAAAAAAGUUUCUUAAAACAAUGUCACCUAAUAUGCCAUUGUAUGACACUUGUUUUUUUUGUUAGCUAUUCAUUCUCUGAUGGCCAACCACAAGUGAAAACUUCGAGUGUCGAUAAGUUUAACAAAGUAGUAUUGAAUCGCUGGCUCUUUGGCGCCCUCAUUCAUUCUGGGAGGGGACGCCCCCCCCCUAGGAACUGUCUGUUCGAGAUCUUCUCCUGCUUAUUUUGUUUUCCUUUUCCUUUGUUCGUUACUUCGUUUGGUUGAGAUUUUGAGCUGCUUGCCUUUAGAAAGCAUGUCGUUUUAAAAAUAUUGAAACACAAACAAACGUACAAUACUCGAAUGUGCUUACAAAUUGGAAAUCCUUUGCUGUUUUUAAGUUUUUUCAUUUUUAUAAAAUUGCUUACAUAAAUUGGGACCACAUGAAAUGAAAAAUGCUUCAUUUUGUAUCCCAACUUGUACUUGACAAAGACUAGAAAUCUUGUUAUAUCAAAUCAUAUUAUCCUCUAUGCUUCUUGUGGUUAACAUACGAAUUUAAGAAUACAUUGAUAAAGGCUGUGAGGAAAUUUAAAAAGCUUGAGAGCUACCUUUAUUUUCGAUUUUUUAUUCUUUGAUAAUAGGACCACAUUGCAUGAUUACAGACUAACACAAUUAUUAUGGCUAAUUGAUAAUUAAUUAGACCAAUAAUAGCAGCAAAAUGGGACACAAAUUGAAGGUUGUCUUGUCAGUUGUCACCGAUGUGUUCCAGAGUUCUUGAUGAAGUUUUUUAGUUGUGCUUUGCUCUCUUUUGCACUUGUUCAGAACAUCGAGAAGAGUUGAUUCAUUGUCUCAAAUUACGUCCUCAGCUUUUCAACUUCGACUAACAACAAUUAGGUUGUGAGAGAGACAAAAUCCUAUAUAUGCUGACUGCGUUUUCUAGAAGAUUAAGAACGUCUAUGCAAGACAAAAGUCACGAUAAUAUCGAAUAUUAACCAAUUUUAAUUAGUACCAUACGUCUAUACUACCAUCUAAAGCUCUAUAUUUUACCAAGUAUUCAUUUCCGCAGAUGAAAUGGGAGGCCAUAACUUAUAAAAUUUUCAUUUGGCAUGUCAACUUGGUACUAGACAAAAUCUAUAAAUCCUUUUUUUUUUUUUGGUUCGAAAAAAUCUAUAAAUCCUGCAAAACCCAACUAUAGAUUCUGAAAUUCUUGAUCAUUUCUCAAUAGUCUGUAUGUACUAUUGUACUAUACGACCCCAUUUGAACUCGAAUAACUAUGCCAUAAUGAUAAUUAUUUUACGUAAGGGAAUGCUAAUUAAUUUACAAUACUCUAUUUCACAGUGAGCAGGAGCUUCACGGUGCAUAUACUGUUCAUUUUCCAGAAAUUUACCAUUUUGUCCCUUCUUCUUCGUUUAUUUAUAACGCUGUUAUUCAGUAUGAGAGAGAGAUAGUGACAAUUUUGUAAAUUACCAAAAAAAGAGGACAAAAUGGUAUUUAUUGAUGGGGAUGACAGAGGUGUAAAUCAGAAAAAAACAUGGGUAAAAUAGUAAUCCCACAGUCUAGAUGGUCAACUCAAUUAUCGUUUUGUUCUCAUAUUGUAGUUAUUUACAAAAUUGCUUAUCUCUCUCUCUCUUUUGGUCAGCUAUCUAGUAUAUAACUAGAGCCUAGAGGACCACCUUUGUUUGGGUAAAUAAACCAGUAAAUUAAAUAAAAAAUGAAAGGGCAAAUUAAGCGCAACCAAAGCCAAAGGCAACAAAGACUACAGAACAAGGAAAAUAAAACAAGCUUGUUUUAUGAAUAAUUGAGAAGGACCACAAUGAAAUGGCAAAGGACAACCUAACAUUAUGACUAAUUGUUAACUCCUGCAUCAUCAAGUGUUCUAACGAUUUCUAUUAUAUGGUGAUAAUUACUUGAGGAAAUUUUACAUAUAGUACCCCAACAACUUAUUCAUCAUUUUGACAUAUUAUUUUUAGAAACUAUCACAUAUGUACCUCAAUGCUAAAACUCAAACCAAUUUUAAUACAUACAUGUCUAUAAUAGUGUUAAACCUUUAUUUCUCAAAUGAUAUUUUCAUCUCUCAAUAUUUCAGCUUAACUUUUUAUUUUUUAUUAUUUAUUAUUAGCUCAAUUUUUUGUUGGUUCAACUCAAAAAAAAAAAAACCCUCCCAAACCCUCUAAUUAAAUUCUCUCUCUCUCUUUUGCGACCGAGGAGCCUUUGCAACCAUCACCAGCACCAAAGUUCAUAGGAUCAUGACCCAGAGUAAAGCAUGGAAUUUAGAUUUGACUCUUUCAACAAAAACAAUAGGAUUGAAGGUUGAUAAUUGGUAUUGAUGAGUACAUGAAUUUGGUUGUAGAUGACGUUGAAGAAGUGAGCAUCAAGAACAAUACCGGAAGACACUAGUUAAGAAAUUUUCCUCAACGAUUAACAUAACUCUCAUAAUGAACACGGGAAAAUGAUGAUCGAUCUGACUCAAAGUCAAAAAUAAUAAUCAUCUGAAAAAUGAAUUGCAUAUCAACCUCAGAGAUUCAACUUCAGCCCCAGAGAUUCAAAUUAUUUAACUCAAUCAAAUUUGUAGCUAGCCCCGUCAACUUUUUGAGUUGAAAUUGCUGUUUAUACUUUCUGGGUUUUGGUGGUAUGGAUUUGACUAUUUGAGAUGGGGAGAGAGAGUAAAAGACGGAGUUGCCCACUGAAUAUCUUAUGUGGCAAUGGAGCUGACGUCGUCAAUGACGGCAGGUACUAAAAAGUUCUUGAGGUUCGAUGUUGAGGUGCUGAUACUAUAGUUUUCAAAAUUGGUAUAUUGAAAUGAUGAACGACUCUUACUUAGGGUACCAUUUGUAAAUUUUUCUCUAAUCACUUAGCAAAACCCUUUACUUCAGUCAAAUUGAGCUUAUGUCUUAACAAAGGGGAUAUAAAAAAAAUAUUAAUAGUGACAUGUUUAAAUAUAAAAACAAAAAUAAAAGCUAAAGGCUGGCCGCAUUCUCUAUAAAAUGCUUUUCAUGGAUGAUACUCUUCAUAUCUAACCUGGUUGCUAAUCAUGGGAUCCCCAACACCCCAGCUUCACUUUACCUUAUUCCCUCUAAUGGCCCAAGGCCACAUGAUUCCAAUGGUUGAUAUGGCUAGAAUGUUGGCACUGCGAGGUGUUACCAUAACCAUAUUCACAACGCCAUGCAACGCCGCCCGUUUCAAAUCAGUCCUUGAUCAAGCCAACGAAGCCGGGCUUCAAAUUCGAGUAAUCGAACUGAAGUUUCCAUGUCAAGAGGCAGGUCUACCGGAGGGGUGCGAGAACUUCGACAUGCUACCUUCACCCCACUUAGCCUUCAAUUUCUACAAUGCAACAGCUAUGCUACAAGAGCAAGUAGAGAAGUUGUUCCCAGAGCUAACACCAAAGCCAUGUUGCAUAAUCGCAGACUUAUGCUUGCCUUGGACAAACAACAUUGCUAACAUGUUUGAUGUACCAAGGAUAAGUUUCCAUGCACACUGUUGCUUUUCACUCUUGUGUAUGCACAACUUAGGCGUUCAUUAUAAGGAGUAUGAGAGUGUAACCUCCGAUUCAGAAUACUUUAUUGUUCCAGGUAAUUUGCCUGAUCGAAUCGAGGUUACGAAAGCUCAGAUACCAGGACCAGUGCUUCCAAACUCGAAGGAUUUCCUUGUCCGAUUGGGAGCAGCUGAGAGCGCCUCAUACGGUUCCAUUGUGACUACUUACGAAGAAUUCGAGGGAGCAUAUGUUAAUGAGUACAAGAAUGCAACAAAAAAGAAUUAUCUCUGGAGUAUCGGACCAACCUUCUUGUGUAACCAAGAUGACUUGGAAAGAGGAAACAAGUCCUCAAUUGAGAAAAAUCAGUGUUUGAAGUGGCUUGAUUCCUGGGAACCAAACUCUGUGCUCUAUGUUUGCCUCGGAAGCCUAUGUAACCUGAUGCCUUCACAACUCUUAGAGCUUGGCUUGGGGAUUGAAGAGACAAAGAGGCCAUUUAUUUGGGUACUAAAGGAAGGGAGAACAUCAAAAGAGUUAGAGGAGUUGCUCUUGAAAGAUGGUUUUGAGGAAAGAAACAAAGAAAGAGGCCUUGUGAUCAGGGGUUGGGCACCUCAAGUGUUGAUUUUGUCACACCAAUCAACUGGAGGGUUUAUAACACAUUGUGGAACGAGUUCAUUUCUUGAAGCAGUAUGUGCUGGGGUUCCCAUGGCCACUUGGCCACUAUUUGGUGACCAAUUUUUUGCUGAGCAUCUUCUUGUGACAGUUCUGAAAAUUGCUGUGAGAAUUGGGGUGCCAAAACCACUGAAUUGGGGAGAGGAAGAGAAGACUGGGAUAUUGGUGUAUAAGGAAACUGUGAAGGAAGCCAUAGAAAUAUUAAUGGAUGAAGGUAAAGUAAGCCAAGAGAGAAGGGAGAGAGUUAGGGAGCUUUCAAUUUUGGCAAAGAAAGCUGUACAAGAAGGGGGUUCAUCUUAUGCCAACAUUACAAAUCUAAUCCAACAUUUCAUGCAAUUAUGAAGUGGUGGGUGUGAUGAAUCUCAGUUUGGUUUCAAGGUGUGUGUUGUUUUUAGUGUUUGAAAGAUGUAUUUGCGUCUUUGUCCAAAGAAGAAAAUAAAAGAAAAGUGUGUGCUCUCCAAGGUGAUGACACUUAUGUACGUGUAUCCUUGGGUUUGUUACUGUUGUUAAUCAAUUGUAUGAUGGAAAUAAGAUUGAAGACUUAGGGAAAUUAUUAUUUGUACCCGGAACACCACGUGUCUUAUGUUUCUUUUUAAUUUUAUAGAAAAUUUCAUAUAAGUCUAUUUUGAGACAUUUUCUCCUACAUAAAUCCACCCUAAACUUUUUACUCAUAUAAGUCCACUUAUGAGCUUAAAUCCACCAAUUCAGUAUUGUACUAUACCUAAAAUACCCUAUAUGUACUCUCCCUCAUCCACAAUCAGCUCCCUUGUCCACGAUCACUCUCUCUCUCUCNNNNNNNNNNNNNNNNNNNNCUCUCUCUCUCUCUCUCUCUCUCUCUCUCUCUCUCUCUCUCUUCCCCCCUCCGAUGAUGACGCCGAAACCCUAGCCCAACCAAAGCCGAAGCUCAACAAUUGAGGAACGCAGUCUGUUGUCUGCCGAUCGACGCCACGUAGCCGCCACAGACCAUCGCGACGGUGCUAUGGUACAUUUUUUCGCUCAACUCCCUUUCUCGAAUUUCUGAUCUGUUUGCUGUGUCUGAUGAUCGGAGUUGAUGAUUCUUGUGGUUCAAAAGAAGGAGGAGGAAUUGAAGAGAGAAAUCGGAGGUUUGAAAAUGGAGGUUGUGAGGGAGCAGCUGAUCGAUGAACUAGAGGAUCAGGGUCUAUGGAUCGAUGGAGGUCUUUUGAGGUAGCGGUGCUCUUCGUUGUUUGUGGUUUCUUAUUCGCGAUCGCCGUCGCAAAUUGAGCUUCGUCGGUAUGGAGUUACUGUAGAAUAAUUUGUAUAUUGAUUUUGAGAUACUGUUAUUCUUUGCAAAUACUACUUGUACAUAUUUAGAAGGCUACUAUUAUAGUUUCGGAAGGCUACUUGAACAAACCUGCUACUGUCAAUUUUUCUUCUUCCCACAGUGACUAAACAUGGUAUGUUGUAAAACAAAAAGAACUACUAGAACUGUGGAAAUUCUACUACCAUACUUUUAAAAAACUACUAUUGAUUCCACACAAACCUACUGUGCGUUUUGUUAGUUGAUAGAGUUUUAGAAUUAGUUCAUGUGUUUUCAUUCAUGCAUGUCUACUAAUCUUUGUCAUAUCAUUGUUAUUCCAAAAACUCUGUUAUCUCUCUGAUUCUAAUUUAUCGGCCACUUGUGUUAUAGUUAAGUCGUAUUGUUAUAGUGCUUCUUAUGGACUCCCUAUUUUAGACAUGAGUUCAGGGUGAUAGCAGAUUUAUGUUCUUGUAUUAGUAUCCUCUCAUGUUGCUAGAAGUAUAUUUUCUUAUAUGUUGUGUUUUUGUUCUUGCAUAAUUCAUCGCUUUGCAAUUGUGGUGGUAGAUAUCGAAAAUCAUGUGAAUUUGGAUAUUGAAGCUUCCAUAGAGAUCAUUCAGCCAACCAAGAAAAUCGUUCUCUAUGUGGAAAAAUUAUGCCUAUGAGUUUUGACUUUUAAGCAUCACCAUUGAAAACUGAUAGUAGCUUUAUACAACAAUUGUAGCGGACUUCCGGAACUACAGUAGUAGCUUUAUGAAACUAUUGAAGUAGCUUUGUACAUAAUUAUAUUAUUGUAGAAGGCUUCAUAUUUUUUGCACUGUUGAAUUUGUUAUAUUCUCUUGAUUGCAGUAACUUUUCUUCUGUUUGGUAGUAGGUUUUGUUGUGCUUGGUAAUAUCAUGUGUUUUGCUUGGUAGUAGCUUUUGUUGCUGGUGAUAGUAACUUUUUUUAUGCUUGGUAGUAUCUUUUGUUAUGCCGGAUAGUAGUUUUUGUUCUGCUUAGUAGUAACUUUUGUUGUUAGCGACAUUAUAUGUGACCUUUCUGAAGGUCGUCGAAAAUCUCACCAUAGCAGCUUUUGUUGUUGGAUAUAGUAGAUUUUGUUGUUGAAGGUAGUAGAUUCGAUUGGUGGCGGUAGUAGCUUUUGUAGGUGACGGUAGUAGCUUUUGUUGACGGUGAUAGUAGCUUUUCUUAUGUUGGUAGUAGCUUUUGUUUAUUUCGGUAGUAGCUUUUGUAUAUAGGGGUAGUAGCUUUUUGUUUAUCUCGGUAGUAGCUUUGUUGACGGUGAUAGUAGUUUUUCUUAUGUUGGUAGUACCCUUUGUUUAUAGCGGUAGUAGCUUUUGUAGCUGGUGGUAGUAGCUUUUGUAGGCGGUGGUAAUAGCUUUUGUAGCUGGUGGUAGUAGUUUUUGUGUUCGUCGGAAACCUCACAGUAGUAGCUUUUGUAGGUGGUGGUAGUAGCUUUUGUAGCUUGUGGUAGUAGUUUUUGUGGCUGGUGGUAGUAGCUUUUGUGUUCAUCGGAAACCUCACAGUAGUAUCUUUUGUAGGCGGUGGUAGUAGUUUUUAUAGCUGGUAGUAGUAAUUUUUAUCAUCGUCGGAGGUCGGCCGGAAACCUCGCCGGAGGUCGGUCGGAAAUCUCGCCGGAGGUCGGCCGGAAACCUAGCCGGAGGUCGGUCGGAAACCUCGCCGGAGGUCCGCAUGAAACCUCGCCGGAGGUCCGCUGGAAAUCUCACCGGAGGUCCGUGGGAGACUGUUCCGAAAUGAGAGUGGUUGUUGACUUUUUAUACUAGUGGCAUUCUUGUAAAUAUAAGGGAGAAAAUCUAAUUUUUUUUGUUGGAUGGCAGUCUGUAAUUAUGUUGAACUUCAAUACUUAAUACAAAACCUUAUUUAGACUUGGGUGGACUUAUGUGGGUAAAAAUGUUAGGGUGGAUCUAUGUGGGAAAAAAUGUCUCAAAGUGGACUUAUAUGUAAUUGGCCCUUAAUUUUAUUGGUUCAAGUAUUUUAUCUUUAUCUCUGAUUGGUGUAUUUAAUUACUUUUAUUGUUGGUGUGGCUUUUUGGAAGAAAAUUUGGAAGGUUAACAUUCCAAAUGGAGCUGAGGUAAAUAUAUGGCGUGUAGGCCAUAAUAUUCUCCCCACAUUGGAAAGACUUCAGUCAAAACAUGUGCCUUUAGAAUCGGUGAUAUGCUUGCUUUGUGCUCAGGAAACAGAAUCUACAAUCCAUCUUUGUCGUGACUGUCCUUUCACUUGUCCAACAACAUCUUAUCUCAGGUUUGUUUGAAUCCAUUAACGCUUCAUUUAAACCUGUUGGAAUGGUUAAACGAAUGCUCUCAAAACUUAUCUUCUUCUAUAUAUGCUUGGAGAAUUGAUAUUUUUAUUGUGGGGUAUUUGGAAGGAAAGAAAUAAUAGAGUCUGGGAUGGAAAGAAUGGCACAGCUUUGGAUGUAGUCUUUAGUUCUAUGACUAGAUUGAAUGACUUUCAGUCUGUGAUAAUUAAACCUAGAGGCAUGGGAAAAGGGAGGAUUGUGAGGGCUAGCUGGAAGCCUCCACCUCAUGGUAUUGCGAAAAUAAAUGUGGAUGGGUCAUUCAUUUCGGAAACACACAGUGGUAGCACAAGUUUUGUGAUAAGGGACAAUUCGAGUUCAUUUUUGGCGUGUGGAGGGCAAGCGUAUAAGGGUGUGGUUUCUGCUGAGCAUGUUGAAGUUUUGGUAUGCAGACAGGCUAUUGUUUUUGCUAUUGCAAAUAAUUUUCAGCCGGUCAUAAUAGAGACUGAUGCACAGGUGGUAUAUUUGCAGUUAAUAAACCACCAUCAAGCUAAUCCUUUUGUUUUGGGAAGACUUUAUGAUGAUAUUGGGAGUACGAUUCAAGAUUCAGGCUCUGUGAGGAUCAUGCAUACCAAAAGAUCUACAAAUAGGGUGGCACAUCUGAUGGCAGGACACUCUAAAACUCUAGUUAGAGAAACUUUUUACUUUUCUGUUCCCUCUUUUCUUCAGAAUGCAAUAGCAACUGAAAGAUCUUCCAUGUAGUUUUUAUUAUUUAUCAAUAAAGUAUGGCCUCUUUUAUUAAAAAAAAAAUAAUUACUUUACUUUUUUUUUUUCACCCUAUGCUGGUCCCCACAUGAAUCUGAGUUAUAUGAUUGGUUAAGAACAUCACAUGACAGUGUCACGUACAGAGAAUAAUUACUCAAGGACUUAUAAGAUGCAAGGGUUGAACAAUAAAAUUAAGACAUUAUACUUAUUAUCCACACAUAAAAUUAAACAACUUCCGCAAAUAACAUAUUAUUAGUAUCUAAAAAAUAAUAAUAAAAAAAUUGAUCACUGGCAUUAGUAUCUUAAAAAAAAAAAUUAAAAAACCUUCACAUUAUUAUUAGCAUAUUAAAAUUAAUAGAGGGUACUUUAGGUAUAAAAGUUGAUUCCUGAUAGUAUCAUUCCUAAACCCAUCUCCCUCCUUAAUAUUACAAUUCCGGGUUAUUAAGGAAUCAAUUCCUUGUUAGAUGGUGGGACCCACACUCAUUCUGAUUUCAUUAUGUGCAAGUAAAAACAAAAAUAAUAAUUAUUCCAUCACUUUUCAAUUUCAUUCCAGAUAAGUAAAUGUGCCCUUAUUAUUUGAGACUCUUUGGUUAUGGGAAUUGGGAAUUCAUAGUGCAUGUUUCAAAGGAGGUAAGAGUCGAAUCACUUUUGAGGGUGAUCAAGUCAAGAAGAUGCAACUUAUAAGAACAUAAGUUAAAAUUCCCUUUUGGUAUGAAGAAUAUUGUAGUUGCAACUCAUGUAGAAUUAGAUCAACAAUGAUUUCAAGUAAUUUUAUGCAUUUUUAUAUAUUAAAAGGUACAUUGUAGAACUUCCCGUAACAUUUUAACGAUAAUUUCACAUAAUAAAGACAUUCAUCGCUAUACAAUAAUUUUUGAAUGACUAGCCCACAUAUCUCGUUUAAGCUCAUAUGAACGGUACUGAACACGAGCAAUUUGGUAGUUUAGACUUCAGCAGAAAUUUGCAUGAUACCCUCUCUACCUAAUGUAGUCUUAGAAGUUAGAGUGAAUGCAACGCCAACAACACGGGAAAUAAGGCAAUCACAAACAGUGCACUCUCUUUGCAAUGCUAUCAAACCCCAAAUCGUCCAUCCACCCUUCCCUUGUCCAACACAGUUGUUUGAUCCUGCAUUAAUGCUAUCAGAAGUAUGCGAACAUUGUUUUCUUUUUUCGUUUCUGAUCUUCUCAUUCAGUUUACGUAGGGUUGGGAGUUACUUUCUCAUUCACUCAGUUAUGCAAGAAGCUAAAAAAAAACCCUCAAUUAGGUGAAUUUUGAGGUGCAUGUAGGGGUUAGCGGUGCCUGUAAUGGCAAUCGGUGUGUGUAUGUUUUGUCAAUUGUUGUAAAUUAUGUCAAUUGUAACUUUAUCAUCCCACAUUGUGCGCCCUCACUGCCGUGGGUCAUUUUUGUAUUCUGUUUGUUGUAUAACGACUUGUAUGACUUGUAUCAUAACAUGUUUGCUUAAUUACCCAGAUAAACAUAAACUCAUUGAAGCCAGAUGUCAUGUAAAUUCGCAAAAACGAAUGACAUCUGAUCUUAUAAUAUAUAACUCUCUUCCUAGUUGAUUGAUCAUAACAAAAAAAAAAGUUUCUUAAAACAAUGUCACCUUAUAUGCAACACUAAAUGACACUGGUUUUCUUGUUAACAAAAUAGUUGUAUAGAAUCACUGGCGCCUUCAUCCUCUUUGGGAGGGGACGCCCCACAGGAACUAUAUCUGUAGGAGAUCUUCUCCUACUUAUUUUGUUUUCCUUUUUUCGUUUGGCUGAGAUUUUGAGCUGAUUGCUUUUGGAAACCAUGUCGUUUUACAAAUAUUGAAUCCCCUUGUGUGCAGGUGAGCCACAAAACAAACAUACAAUACUCAAAUGUGUUGGAAAAUUUGGGUCGAUGGAUGUUAAUAACGCUACCAGAUUUUGUCACCUACAAAAUCAUACAAAUAUAUGAUAUUAUUAACAAAUAAUAUUACUUAUAAUUAUGCCAAAAUAACUAGAAAACAACAAAAUAUAAAUACUAAUCUUUGAUUAUGAAGUCUGCGUCAAAAACUUGAUCUGGUAAAUGUUUAAGGUUGAGACGUGUAAACAGUGCUCUUAAGAGUAGAUUUCGCCCUCGGAGACAAUAUCUCGGUGUAGCAGGUUUAUGGCGACCUACCCUCCAAGGUACAACAACCGUUAAUCUUUGUAAGCGUACACUCGCAAUACUUGGAUCCUAGAACCGCCUGAUAACUCUUUGGUAUAACACAUAAUAUAGUUGGACUCACAAGAGGAAUGACUAGGGAGAAAAAAGAAUAGAGAAUAGGAUGAAUAUUCCAUUGUGUAUAUAUUGAAAAGCUUGACAUGAAGAGUAUAUAUAGUAGUGUAUGAGAAGAUAUAAUCAUGAUAGAAAAAAGGCUUGCAACUGACAACAUUCAAAUCAUGAAGUUAAGGAGAAUAACGGACAAAUAGAAAAUGAAGGAAUAAAUUUGAUUGAGUAUUGUAACCUACCACAAUUGCCAUAAACUCAUGUAACUGAAAAUAUUUAUGGCAACGAAUAACCAUUUAAAUGUAACAUUUGAAUCAAGUUGGAUAAGAGACACUAAACACAAGUAUUUUGAAAUAUCACAUCAAAAAUUCCAAUAAUCCUCCACAUAUUUCAAAAUACGGAAAUUCUAACAAAAUGAGAGAACUAGAAGAGUGCCAAAGGAGAGUGAGAGUACAAUGCAUCUGAAUUGGUGUCUUUUCGACUAUGAACCAGCCAUAGGAUAAGAUAGCUAUGACCAAGUAUUAAAAUAUCUGUAUCGGCAUAUCUAUCGGUACUUUGAAAAAAGGAGAUAUCGGAUAUAUCGGGGAUAUAUCAGAGAUAUUGGGGAAAAAAUAUCAGAAAUUCGGGAAGAAUUUUUUUCUAAAAUAUUUAAUUUAUUGUAUUUACUUAUAAAUUGUACAAACAUCAACUUCAUCUAUAUCUAGAAGAAGACUCCAAGUGGUUGAAAAGAAGUACGGUGGUCUACAAAAGUAUAGUAUUCAGACCAAAACAUAUAACCCUAAGAAUUGUAUUGUUGAAUAUGAUAGUCGUAUAUCUCUUUGGAGCUACUAACUGUUCCCCUUAUAUCUCUUUUCGAAUAUUGUUGAUGGUGAUUCUUGUUUACACCGAAAUUUUUUACAUAUAUUUCUUUAAUAUAUCAGAGAUUUAUCGUAGAUUUCCUAAAUAUUGGAGAUAUUGACGGAAUCAGAGAAAUUUGACAGAAUCUGAGAUAUUUGACGGAAUCGGAGAUAUUUGACGGAAUCGGAGAAAUUUGAUGAAUGGAAUUGGAGAAAUUUGACUGAAUCGGAGAAAUUUGACAGAAUCUGAGAAAUUUGACGGAAUCGGAGAUAUUUAACGGAAUUGGAGAAAUUUGACGGAAUCAAAGAAAUUUGACUGAAUCGGUGAUAUUUGACGGAAUCGAUGGAAGAUAAGAUAUUUACCCCUCUAGAUAUAUUGGUCACUCCAAAAAAGGAGAUAUCGGUGGAUAUAUCAGAUAUAUCACAGAGAUUUUAAUCGUUGGCUAUGACACAAAAAUUUGGUGAAAAUGAAAUUUUCUAUAAACCAUAAUUUCUAGAUGUGCAUCGGAGAGCUACUAUCCACAUUGAACCUCUAUCAAGCUUAUCAUGUGGGUGGGCACGAAUAGGCCAUGCGCCCCUACCUGGAUAUUCACGAGUGCUCUAGAAGACUUGCCCAAGUCUCAUAGGAAGCGGCCCCACUUCCACACUGAUAUAGGUGAGUCCAUUAAGUGUGUACUGGAAUCGAACAUACGACCCAAAUGUAAGGGCUAUGGUACUCAUUAAGAACAAAGUUCAUCCUUAUACGUUUCAGUUAAAGCAUUAUCUUUACACCAUAGGGAUAGACUCUAAAUUUUUAAUUUGAUAGUGCACCACCGAUCAACAAGUGACUUGUUAUUACCCAUAUGAACCUACUUCAUGGGAUCUCCAAUCACAUAAGUUGGGUUAUCAUCACUCUUGACCUUUGUUAUAGGCAUAAGUCUCAUCCCCCUUGAUGUACUAACCACUAGCUUUGGUCUUUAGUGUAGUGGUUGUAAGAGUAUCCGCCAAAAUCAACUUUCACAUAUGAAACUUAUUGAAUAUUCUUGAGAAUAAGUAAUCACAAUUGGAUUCUCAGUUAUCCAAUAUCAUUGGACCAUAAGAGCCAACCUUUCCUUGUUUUUCUUUGACCCCCACAUUUUUGGGUAUGACUGAAAGCCAUAAACUCAUAUAUACUGACACAAUAGUACGUAUCAACCACAUUUAUUUAGGUAACUAUCUUGGCGUGUACCAAUGUGUACCUUUAGAUGACCUAUGUCACCCCCACAUUUGAGCCAUCAAAUUUCGAAUAUAUAAUUGUUUUGAGGCAAGAUUCACUGCAAGACAACAUAAAUUCGAAAGGCAACCAAAAAUCUUUAGGGCAACAUACCGAGCCAAUUAUGUGAGCAAAUACCGAGUAACCCACUAUAUAUAAUUAGGCAACUGUAUUACUGGUAACCAUAUCCUCAAGGCAAUCAUACCUAUUUUCCUUCAAUCAUAAAAACCAAUGUUAGUUCAGUGUACGUAGUAAUAACACACAACAUAAAUUAUAAUUACCGUAUGCAUUACUAAGAAAUAAUUCUCCGUUUUAAUACUUACUCAUAUAGCAUUCAAACUAAUGAUACUAAGCAAAUAAUAUAAUGAUCAAGCAUGCAUGGUGGCAAUUAUAUAAUACGAGAGCCCAAACAUAAUUCAUCAAUAAAUAAAUUAAAAGCAACAUUUUUGAGUCUAGAAGAAAAUAUUAAGUAAUAUAGGAGACUAGUAGUAGAAGACUUAUCUUUAUAUCAAAGUUUCUACCAUAAAGCUAGGAAACAUCCAACAACGAUGUCUACUCUUAAGAUUGUUGGAAAAUUUGGGUCGAUGGAUGUUAAUAACGCCACCAGAUUUUGUCACCUACAAAAUCAUAAAAAUAUAUGAUAUUAUUAACAAAUAAUAUUACUUAUAAUUAUGCCGAAAUAACUAGAAAACUGUUGUAAAACGAAAGGGAAUAGAUUGAGAAAGGAGAGAAACAACCAAGAGAAUGAGAGAAUAUGUGUGUAUUAUUGAGUAGGGAAUCAUCUCUUAUAUAGAGAUGUAAUCAGUAUGUAAAUUACAUGAAUAUCCCUAGUAAGCUAAUUUACAAGAAUGCCCAUUCAAUAAAUUAUUUACAACACUCCCCCUUGGGUAUUCUCUGUUAUUAGCUUCAUUUGAUAUGUGCUUUAGUGUUGCCUCGUCAAAACCUUGCCAGGUAAUAAAAACCUUAUGGGACAAAAACAAUCCUGGUCGAAGGAAAAAAGAGUACAACGCAUAUGUAGUGGUGGUAGUCAGAACCCUUGAUUUCGGUGAAGCGGUUUAGUCUGGAUCAUAAAAUGUGAGUCCGUGGGAGAUGGAUGUAUAAUAGUUACUACACCAAAACCUUGUCCGGUAAACCCAGUGGGACAAACCCGUGGUCGAAGGGAAAAGAUGAGCAAAUGCAUAUAUUUCAAAUAAAGACAUAUUCAAGAUAAAGUAUGAGUAGGGUGACCAAUUUAAUGUGUGCCUCAUUAAAACCUUGCCAGGUAACAAAACCCAGUGGGACAAAAUAACCCUGGACGAAGGACAAAAGAGUACACAAUGGUCAAGAGUAUGCUUCAAGAUACUCCCCCUAAUAUUGACUCCUCCUGAAAACUACACACAAGGUAAAACUACUACAUUGAUCAUGCUUCUUGAAUAAUUUAAUAGUCAACAUGACUUAAAGAGGUUUUUGUUUCAUAUACCUCUAAGAUUAUUGUAUUCCCUAUAGUAAAGACAUAACUAGUCGGGAAUAAGCCUUGUGUCGGUUCACAUAACUCAUGUCAGCAUAUUUAAUAAGGCAAACAUUAUUCCAAGGAUCAUAGGCGGUUGAUUCAUUUCAUGAUGCCUAGGGAUAGAAUGAGCCCUUUUUCCAUCAUACAUUUAAAGUAACGGAAAAUUGUUUUUAUGCCAUUUACGGAGACGGCGUGUUAGCGCAGAGCUAUAUCUAGCAAACAAAUUCACAUCGGGUGAGAUGUUCGAUCUAGGACAUUUAGCCAAGUACAAUAAUGCGCAUAUUGUACUUAGAUAUGAGUCUUCUAGUCCCAAUAUCUCUUCGUUAUCAUCUGCACGAUGAUACGAGUCUCACUAGAUUUCAGACGAUUAUGAGUGAGUUUGAAGACUUUGCUUUAUCCUCAUUAAAAC